UCCCUGACUUCUUCAUACCAUUUCUCUCAUUAUGAUUAAUAUUGUGAAGUACUUCCUCCUAUGAGUUCACCAUUUUUUUCCUUCAUUAUGCUUUAUUUCAAAACUUUUGAUUUUUGUACAUUUUCACUUUGACUACUCCAUGAAUUACUUGCCCAAUAAGGUUCUCAAGAAAUAAUUUUUGUUAGAUUUCCUUUCCCAAAUACCACACUUGUACAUUGGAACCCCCAAUGAUGAAUUUCUUCUUCCACUUAUACUUGAUAAACAAUAUCAUUGAUUUUUGUGUUUUUAUUAAUUUUUUCCUCACCGUGGGUUUAUUUAUAGUUAUCAAGGUGUCAAUGGUUGUCAUUACCUUUUUUAAAUAUUCUUGUCUAUACAAAGAUAAUAGUAUGUGUUGAACAUGCACUUUGAUGUCUCCAAAUCCAUGAAUAUUGGUUGAAGGCUUUGCUGCUGCUUGUGUGUGUGGGUUUUGGGUAGUUUGAAUUUGUAAUCCACUCAUAGAAUUGAUCACAAGUUGUUUGAUUUUAAUGUAUUUGAAAAAAAUGUGUUUUCAAAGAGAAGUGGAAAAACAACUAGUUGUUUUAUCGUUUCAACCGGUUGUUUUACACUUACAGUUUUUUGAAAGGAUUUGAAACUGUUUGACUUUGGUUGACUUUGCUGUCAAACCAAUUCAACCGGUUGUUUCAAAAAUUCAACCAAUUGAUCUUUGAAAAUCCUUAACAAAAUUCUGUUAAGUUGAUUUAAUCUGAUUUAAAUUAUUUUAAUUGAUUUUGGAUCUUUAAUUAAUUACUUUUAACAACUAGUUGGAGUAUAAAUAAGUGGUUAUACGCUCCUGGUUGUUAAGAUUUCAAAUUAACAGUUUCAAAUCAGUUUUCUAAGAUUGCUUCAAGUUUUGGAUACUUUCUAAGAGUGGAAUAUGAUUGUGCUGUAAUUAAGAUUGCUUUGAUAUUUGAUAAUUAUCAGGUGUUUUCCAUUCUCUUUCAUUUGACUUGUAUUUCUGUAAAGUACUGUGUUGCAUAGAGUCAGAGGGUGUUCUGAUUUGUGGUGUGUUGUAAUUGCCAAAGGAAGUGUGUGUUCUUGAGGGGUUCAAGAUCACUUCUUUGGUGUGUGUGGUUUGUAAUAUGUGGUUGAUUACAUAUGGAAUACUUAGUGAUUUCUAGGGACUGGAUGUAGCUCUUAGCUUUUAGUUUUAAGUUUUUUUAUAAACUGCUGAUAAAAACAACUGAAUGAAUCGCAUAAACAACCGGUUGAUUUUAUGGAAAUCAACUAAAACAAUUUUGUAACUUAUGCAUUUUCAUUCCUUUGGCUUUGAUUUUUCAUUGGCUUUCUUCAUACCUUUAAAGUUUGCGAAAAACGUUUAAAAACAUUUCACUCCCCUUGUUUUAGGCCUACAAUUCUAACCAUAUGCCCUUAGACCUAACCAAAACAACCUUGUUUUCUAAGAUAACCUGGUUUAAUUAUGGAAUCACUUAUUCAAACAACAUUUAUAGUCGUUUGCUAUCUUGCUCUAUCGCCUUACUUACUUUGCUAUCCCAUAAAUUAUGCACUCUGAUGAAUUUCAAGCCAUCUAGAAAGAAAUUUUCUUUUAGCGUAUCCACCUUAUUAUUGUCAUGCAACCUUCUGAUAAAAGCUUUUCUUUAACCAUUAUUUUUGUUGGUGUUGAGGGAAUAAAACAGAGCAAGAUAUUUGUUAACAGAGAAUAUAAAUUUUAUUUCAUUGCUACUUUUCAAAUAAGAAUACAAUCUCUCUAAAUAGUCUUACAAUAGACUUCUCAAAUUCUACCUUCUCUAUCAUAAAACCUAUACUAUAAUUUACAUUUAAAUCAUAGUAUAAAUGACAUUUAAAACUAGAAUUAAAGAUAAUAAUUAUUAGCUAUUCAAAUGCUAAAAUAAAACUGAUGAAGGCUGACGGCUUUGAGUUUAAUGCUAACAAAUUCCCCCUUAAACUCAAACCUUUCAUAUUUUUCAUUCAGAUUGUUAUCGCUCACACUUCUAAUUUUAUAUUUUUCCUUACCCCAACUGCCUCCAAUAUUAUAUUUUUCUAGUAGUCACCAUAUUGUCCUUGAUUAGAAGCAACUUCAAUUUUCUUCAUUGCACCAAUCCGUGCAGAAUUUUGAAUUGAAUUACUUUUAAUUUUCCAAACAAAAUCUUCUCCACUUUCACCCUUUGAAUUAAAAGGAUUUAAGAAAGACUUUGACUUCAAUGAGCUUUGAAGAUAAUGAUUAUACCAUAUUUCCCUUUCAGAUGAUGUCUCAACACCAUUCCAUUUAUGGUCUUCUCCUAAAUCAAAACCACUAUUUUCAAGUAAAACACAUGAACCAAAAGGGGAUUUGAAUUUGAAUUGUAAUUCACUCACCUUUUCUUUUUGUGCCAAAAGCAACAAAUGAAGUUUUUCAACUUGAUUGACUCUACUUUCCUUGUCUUUCUCCAUAUCAACAUAUUUUUCUUCCAAUUUUGUAAACCUUUUUUCCAGGUUAUCAAAUUUUGCUUCAACACUCUCCAAUAAUUGUCUCAUACUGAGAAUAUUACUCUUCAAGUCAGGUACAUAAAUUUUUGUGACAUUUUCUUUGGAUUUAAAGGCCAUGUGCUCCUCCUCCAUUGGAUUGAGAACAAAACUUUUUCCCUUCAUUUCAACUUUAAACAAAUCUCUGCCAUCAACAUCUUUAAUUAAGCAAUGUUUAUUUCCAAACAUCACAUUAUAGCCUUUUUCCAACAAUUGACCAACACUCAAAAGAUUUUGAUCAAUCUCUGGCACAAAAAGAACAUUUGUAAUGAUUUUUAUACCCUUAUAGCUUGUGAUAGCUAUUGUGCCUUUUCCUUUUACUGCAAGAUGUUCACCAUUUCCAAUCCUCACCCUUUUAAUAUCAGUAGUUCUCAAUUCCUUGAAGAGUUCCUUGUCAUGUGUCAUGUGGUUGGUGCAGCCACUGUCAAUUAGCCAAGAUGCACUUGAAAUAUUGCUGCAAAAACCAGUUGCAACAAAAAGUACAUCCUCCUCCUCCUUUGCAAUUUGAGCAUCUACAUCUUGUUGCUCACUUUGGUUUCUACAAAUGAUUGCUCCAUGCCCAAGUUGAUUGCACUUGUUGCACUUAGCAUUAGGUCUUCUCCAACACUUAAACAGCUGAUGACCUAACUUGUUGCAAUGCUUACAAGGAAGAUAAUUUCUACCUUUGUUUCUCCAGCCACCUUCAUGUUUGACUAGUAAGGCUCCUUCUACUGCUCCAUCUUGUCUCAUGGUUCUCCUUUGUUCUUGUGCUUGUAAAGCAUUUAAGAGCUUUGCAAGAGAAAUCUUUGAUAGGUCAUUUGUGUUCUCCAGGGUUGUUAUGGUGGCUUCAAACCUCUCUGGAACUGUUACAAGCAGUUUUUCCACAAUUCUUGAAUCUUUUAACACAGAUCCAAGCAACCUCACUUUGUUGGCAAUGCUUAGAAGUUUGUCCGGGUACUCUUUUACGGAUUCCGACUCCUUCAUUCUCUGCAAUUCAAACUCUCUGAUUAGAUUCAGGGUUUGCAUUCCAGGAAUCCUCUCAUCACCUUCAUAUUCUGCCUUGAGGUAAUCCCAGAUUUCUUUUGCUAACUUCAAGGACAUUAUCCUUGUGAAUACCACAGGAGAUACAGCUGCAAAUAGACAUGCUUUUGCCUUUGAUUUCUUCAUCUUUUUUCCUUCUGUGAUUUUAUUUGUGCCACCAUAGGGUUUCCUGGAAGGGACUGAAUUUCAUAGUCCUCUUCUACAGCUUCCCAUAAAUCCAAUGCUUCUAGGUAGGUCUCCAUACGAACAACCCACAUUUGAUAAUUGUCUCCAUCAAAGACAGGUGGUGCCAUUGCUGAAAAAUUUGAUCCUCCUUCCAUUGGUGCACUCUACUAACCUCACAAUCCCUCAAGAAAAUAGCUCUGAUACCACUUGUUGGUGUUGAGGGAAUAAAACAGAGCAAGAUAUUUGUGAACAGAGAAUAUAAAUUUUAUUUCAAUGCUACUUUUCAAAUAAGAAUACAAUCUCUCUAAAUAGUCUUACAAUAGACUUCUCCAAUUCUACCUUCUCUAUCAUACAACCUAUACUAUAAUUUACAUUUAAAUCAUAGUAUAAAUGACAUUUAAAACUAGAAUUAAAGAUAAUAAUUAUUGGCUAUUCAAAUGCUAAAAUAAAACUGAUGAAGACUAACGGCUUUGAGUUUAAUGCUAACAAUUUCUCUUACUCAUUCACUAAAAACUGUUUCGCUUCCAUCUACCUGUAUUAGUGUUCAUAUUGUUUUACAAUCUCACUUAUGCUCGUGACUAAUCCUGAACUUUCCUCCUUUACAUCACAAUUCCCAUUAUUUUGCUUUUUGAAUUAGUUCCUUCGAGCUUACUUCACUUGAACACCAUUUCUUUGUUCCUUCAAUAUUUGGCUUGUUCACGUGUGUUUUUCUAAUACCAAUCCACAUAUUAUCCAAUUUAUCCCUAACUCCACUGCAUUUACCAUUCCAAGAAACAUCCAAACCCAAUUCUUUGCACUCUCCCAUUUACUUUUUGCAUAUAAAUACCUCUUGCAUUCUCCCCCACCUUCGGAAGAUUUUCUACAUAACAUACUCAUCGUAGUUUACCGGAAAGUGAGAAAAAAAAAAAAGAAUGGUGUGGAGUCUUUCUAUGCUCAUGUGUUUUGCGCCCUUUUGUCUUUGUUGUUGAUAGUUUUCAUACUCAACUCAUUGGUAGCUCCUCUUUCUAUUUUGAAUCUGAUUCCUUUUUAUUUAAUGGGGUACCUAGUGUGAUAACUUUUUGGGAGAUGUUCAAAACAUUAAAGUUGAGGGGAUCCUCUUUCAAGAUUUUCUACUUAGUGAUGCAAAUCAAGUGUGUUUUGAUAAUUUGAUUUUUUUUUUUAUCUUAAAGUGUGUUUAAUAAUUUAUAUCAUUACAAGAAAAUUAUUAAAUAGAAACUAAUUUUAGAAACUAAAAAUAAUUAGUUGCUAUGGUGACUAAAUUAGAGAUCAUUUUAGAAAUUAAAAAAAAUUGGUUUCUAAAUUAGUUUCUAUUAUUGUUAAAUGGUUUCUAAAUUGGUAUAUAAUUAGCAACUAAGGUUUUUGCUACCAAAUUUAGAAUAUAAAUAAUUGGUAGUUAAAACAUUGGUAGCUAAUUAGAUACUAAUUUAGAAACUAUUUAAAAAUAAUAGAAACUAAUUUAGAAACCAAAAAUUUUUUUAGUCUCUAAAAUGAUCUCUAAUUUAGUCACUAUAACAACUAAUUAUUUUUUGUCUCUAAAAUUGGUUUCUAUUUCAUGAUUUUUUUGUAGUGUAUAUUCAUUGACAAUAUUUUGGACUUUAAUUAUGCAAUUACAUAAAUUAUAUAUUGAUUCAAAAUGAUGUCAAACUAUUUCUUAUAAUUAUGUUUGCGAUGUAAUAUGAAGUAAGAUAAUUUGUAAAUAAUUGUGUUUAUGAAGGAUUUGUUAGGAAUUAGAUUGAAUGCAAGUUAAAGUUAUAAUCAAAACUUGGGAUGACAGCGAGGUAAGGUGAGUGCAAGUUUGACUAUACACAUCCACAUUCCCGAAAUAAAAAGUUAUUCUCAUCCUCGUCUCAUCCCAUUAGGUAUAAUUUUUUUUGUCUCAUUCUCAUCCUCAUUAGGUAAUGGGUGUAUCCAUAUCCACGCUCAUACUCGUUCUCACACUCUCCCAAAUAUUAAAUAAAUAAUGUUCUUACAAAACAAGAAAAAAAAUCACAAUAAAUAAAAUAUGUUAUCAAAUAACAAUUACAUGUAAUAGAAAUUUCAUAACAAUUUCAAUAUAUUGUUUUGAAAAUAUUGAGGGGGAAAAUACCUCAGAGAUUUGAGUGAAUUUGGUAAAUAUUAAACAUGGUGAAUUGUUGAAAGAGAGAAUGAAAUUUUGUGUAAAAAAAAAAAAAGUUCUUGAAAUGAAACAAAAUUAAGAAACAAGAAAAAAAGAAAAAUAUUUUUUUUAGGUUACCUAAUAAACUAAGAGUUUACAAAAUUUAAUUCAAUAAAAUUGAGGUUUACGUUUCCUAAAAUGUAAUUUAUCAUUUGAAGAAAAUUACUUAAAAUGUAAUUUAUCAUUUGAAGAAAAUUACUAGAAAAAAAAUGUGUAAUUGAGAAUAUAAUUAAAGAGAAAAUACUUUAAGAUAUGAGUGAGCUUGAUAGAUAUUAAAUAGUUAAACAAUUGGGAGAGUAUGUAAAAUAAGAGUUUUUCAAAUGGAAUGAUAAAAAAAAACAUGGAUGAGAAUAACAAAAAUAAGUUUUCUAUUCCAUACCCAAUUUAAAAUAUUAAAUAUUAUGAUGCUCAAAGUUUAUUUAUAACCCAUAAUUAAAACAAAACAAAUAUUAUAAAAGUUAUACAUACAACAAAUUUUUUUACUAUAAUUAUCAUAUAUUACUUUCACCAAUUAUUCAUAUCAUAACCAAUCAUUGAAAGGGUUGAAAAUUUUGAAAAUAAGUGGGUUUGGAAGGGGAAAAAAUGGUUUAGGGAGCAUAUUUUGUGGAAGGUUGGGUAGGGUAAUAUGAUCUUAUUUUUGAAUGAUACUUGGAUAGGGGAUAAGCCUUUAAGGAAGAAAUAUCCUAGAAUAUAUAGUAUUUUAAAACAAAAAAGAAAACUUAUAAUAAAGGAGUUUGGAUAACAUACCAUUGGACUUGGAAACUUAUAGGUAGAGGAGGGAUUGGUUUGAGUGAAAAAAACUAAUGGUCAACGAAUUAGUACAUAUUAUUCAGGAUAUUACAAUACAUAAAGAUCAACUAGAUGAGUGGGAGUGGAAGGAAGAUAGAACUUGUUGGUAUUCUAUGCAAUCUGCCUACAGGUUAAUACAUAGUUUUCCCUUAUAGGAGAAUGAUGUAAAUUUUAAUUAUCUGUGGAAAGUUAAGGCCUUACCCCAACCUUAUCUUUUGUUUAGAGGGUAUUCUUGAAUAAAAUUUCUACAAUACAUAACUUGCUCAAAAGAGGUAUCCAACUACAGAGAACUUUGUGUGCUAUCUGUAAUAGUUUAGAAGAAACCUAUCCUGUUUACAUGUAGAAUUACAAAUCAAAUUUGGAACAUGUGUGAUGUGUGGUUAGGGAGAAUGAUGAUACAUCAUUGUAAUGCUAAACAACACUUUUUAGGUUUUCAUCAUGGGGGUUUAAAUAGAAAGGGUAAUCAAAUUUGGAAAGUUGCGUGGAUAGAUCCAAUGUGGACUUGUGGAUACAUAGAAAUAAUGUUAUAUUUAAAAAUCUUAAACCAAAUGACAUAGAAAUCUAUUCUAUAGUACAUGUUAAAUAGUGAAUUUAGGAUUUAGGAUUUGUGUGAAUAACGAAGAAGUACACUAAGAUCAUAAAAUCUUUACGUAUCCGUGUGGCUAAUCUUAUUAAGCUACAUAGCCUAGAUCCUUCAAUGUAGUUCUAUGUAGGAAAAGUUUAACUUUUGUGCAUCCUUGGUUAUGUGUGUAUCUGUGCAACAAAAGCUUAGUGGAGUACAAAUCAGUGCUCUAUGGAUUACAAACAUAAUGGAACCUAGAAUAUAAUCCUGGACAAUUGUUGAGCAAAUUAUUAUACUCUGUAAUAAAUUAUGCAGCCAUUAUUUCAACUCAUAGAUUGAUACAAGGAAUAACGAGUAGUGCGAAUUUUACAUCUGUUUUUGUGUGCAGAGGGGCUACAAACUGGUUUAAAGUCUCCUCAUUUUAUAUAUUUUUUAUUAUUGAUAAAAAAAGUGGUUGAAAUGUUUUAAAAACAAAUUAAAAUUAAGAAAAAAAUACACUGACUGUAACUGGUCAAAUCUUUUAUUGUUUUAACAAUAUUUCUAUUAAUGAAAAUUUUAGAACUCCUAUUAAAAUUCUAUUUUAAUAAUUGUUAAAAGCUAUACUCCAGUUGUGUAAUUAAAGCAUUGAGAAAUUAAGAUGAUAAAAUCUUACCUGGUUCUAUUAUUCUCUCUAGCACUUCCAAUAUUGUAAGAAAACCCUCUGAAAUGAAGUAAAAUGUGACUUUAUAAUAGUCUCAACAGUUAUUCAAAAAAGAAUAUUUUCAGAUUUUGAUAAAGGUUAUAGCGGUCAAUAAGUUUAACAGUUAUUUAUUUUUAAUUUAAUGCUUACGUUCUUAUAAAUACAUGUAAAACAUAAAAAAUAAAAAAAAUACCAUUUUUUGUUCUAAAAGUUGAUUGAAUUAUUAUAAUGAUAUUUUGAAGAUAAUAAUAAUAUAUCUAAAAUGAAACAUAAAAUAUAGAUGACUGAAGCUUUGUUUUGAAAAAUUCUGAAAAAAGUGGUUAACAGAUGAUUAUUUGAAAAUAUAUAAUUAUGUAAAAUGUGUCUUAAUAUUUGGUUUAGGAUCACUCACCGCAUUGAAGCUUCUGGUUAGAAGAGUCGAAAUAGCAAUAGCUAUCAUCAUCUGGACAAAGAUUCUGACAGGCGAGUUUUAUCCAUGAAAUCUCGAAUCCAUAGGCGAGUGCGGUGUGCAUGGAAGAGUAGGAAUGGUAAUCGAAAGUGGAGAGAGAAGUGGGAGCAACAAGCUUUACCUCACACCCAACUUCUAAGUCCUCAGCUUUUAGGUCUCCACCAAUUGCAUAUGAAUACCCCUUCCCCUCCCACUUCACCCACUCUCCACUCUCCACAUACUUCCCUUUCUCUCUCACCCAAUCAUUACAAUUCACAAACACUAUAUGCGAGAAACUUCCUUAUUGGGAAAUGAGGAUAGAAAAAUUGUUUGUUUCCCAUAAAGUAAAGAAGGAAAGAAAGAUACAAAAGAAAAGAGAGGAAGAUGAAAGGGAAGCUAAAGAAAAAGAAAAACCAAGUGAGGGGUGGUGUGAAUCUAGAAAGAAUGAGGAAUAUCUUAUAACACCCCUUACAAGCAUAUUCAAAAUGGAAAAUCAAGAGAAAAUCCUUGGGAAACAAAAGGCGUGGGAAAAGAGUGUUCCUUCUCACAAAGUCAUUCAACAAGAAGUAAAAGUUGAAAAUACCUUUGAAAACAUGUUUCUUGUUGAACAACCUAGCCUUACCUUUUGUAAAGGAACACUUGCAAGCAUAGUGAAAAAAGAAGAAUCCUUAAAAGAGACUUGCAUAGAUAAAGAUGUAGUGGAUUAUUUCUCAUAUGUGCUAGGAUAUCACCAAGUGAAUGUCAAGUUAUCUAUAAGCAUCUACAAAAACAAAUUUUUAUGUGAGGUAGUGCCUAAAGAAACUUGUCAUGUCUUAUUGAGACAACCAUUGCAAAGUGUACAAAUUCUCAUAAACAAUGGUUGUAACAACGAGACUAUCUUUACACAUAAGAGAAAAAUUCUUCAUGAAGGAGAACUCAUGGGCCAAAUUAGAGUUGAUAAAACUCUAGAGCUUUUAAAAGGAAAACUUUUGUCCCCCAUGAGAAAAGAUGUUCAAAGACAUUACCCUAGAUACAUAUCUUGUUUUAAAACUACACCUAAGCCAAUGUCUCAUGAACUCUAUACUCCUUCACCUUUUGCAAAUGAUCCUUGGGAAGACACAAAUUUCAUAUUAGAGCUUCCUAGGACAACAAAAGGUUUUGAUUCCAUUUUCAUGGAUAUGGAUAAACUCUUCCUUAGAGAAGUGACAAAUCUUCAUGGUUUAUCAUCAAACAUAGUGUUGGCUAGAGCUCCAAAUUUUGAAAAUCAUCAUUUGAGGAUUCUCUUGGAAAAACUUGAAACUAAGUUAUACACUUUAAAUUCUUAUCAUCCUCAAAAGAAUGGUCAAAAUACAUUUGAAAACCUAGCUCUUUUUACUAUGCCUAAAGAAAUCAUGAAAGACAACCACAAUUCUUGGGAUGAGUAUCCUUUUCCUAAUAAGCAUGCAUACAAUGGAGUAGUCCACAAGACUACAAAUAUUUCUACAUUUGAAAUUGCAUGUGGACUUAAUCCUCUCUCGCUUUUUAAGUUGUUACCCUUUCCUAAAGGUAUUGUGCCUAAGGAAAAGGUAACCAAUAUUGAAAAUUUUCAAAUACAUAAGAGGAUUAGAGGACACAUAAAACCAUCAAAAGGAAAAUAUUGUGAAAAGUUGCCAAAAACAAAAGAAAAACAAAAAUGGCAACUUCAUACAAUUAAGUUCUCUCCAAUUGCUCACACUAACUCAUUUGCUUUGUUUCAAGAUUCCCAUAGAUGGACAUUUGAUCCGGGAGGACAAACCUUGACGAAGCAAGAGGCUGCUAUUCGAGAUCAAAUCUAUAGAUCUGGGGAUAUAUCUUCUCAAGAAGGAGGAGAUGAUGGACACCAUCCAGCCACAUCCAUCCCCCUAGAUGAAGAAAAAGCAUUGGAUUUGAGGAUAAAUCCUUUUCAAGAGGGAGGAGAUGAUGGAAGAGGCCCCAACACCAACCCUUUGAGAGGCCACCAAAAUGCUACCUUGAGGCAACCACUAGAGUCAUAGUCAAAGAGGGGUCAAGAGGACACAUUUUACAUGUCAUAGACUCUAGUGUGUCAUAGUUUUUCUUAUUUUCUAGUCAAAGUAGCAUAGUUUAAAUAUUUUUGUAAAUGUGUUGAAACAUGCAAAGUGGUACCUAAAAUGCUAACCUAAGUUUAAUUAGAGUUUCCUACUCCUAAUUAAACUUAGGUCCAUCCCACAAUUAGCCUAAGUGGAGCAUAAGGUUCUAGAACUCCUAGCACAUCUAAGAGGUUUUGUAGAUCAUCUAGCGGUUCUAGUGAAAUCGUUUAGCUACUCCUCUAACAAGACUAUAUAGCCUGUUUGCUAUGUUUUUUUUUUUUAUUUAUAUGUUUAUCUGUUGUAAUCUUAAGAGUGUGUGCAUCUCAUAUUCUGUUUUCCAGAAAUUUUGUUUUUCUUUUUUUUGUUUCUUGCUCUUGCGAGUUGCGCUUUUGUUUCAUUAAUCCGUGUGACUGUGUGUGUCAUGAAUUACCAUUUUUAAUAUGCUAGCAGAGUAGGUUGAAUGACCUGCUUUGCCUCCAAUGUUGUUUCAGUUCUUUUUCUUUCUUGUUGAAUAAUUGUUUUCUCUUGUAGACUAUUUUCUUCUUAUUGUCUUCUUCAUGUAUUUUUCUGAAACAGAAUACAGAAAGCAAGGUUUUGUUAUGAAUCUUUGCAAUAAUCCCGCAAGUUCAUAUUACUUGCAUCUUGGAGAAAAUUCUAGAACUGCGUUUAUCUCUCCUCAACUCAAUGGAGAAAAUCCCUUCACAUAAAGGGAAAAUUGUGGUAUUAAAGUUGACACCUCUCCUAAUUAAGUUUGAUGUUGUUGGUACUUAUCCCAUCAGAACCCUCCAAAAAAAGUUUUGAGCAUUCUAGAGUGCUCUGACAUUCUCAAAAAAAUUGAUUAAAGUAUUGUUAGCACUCACAUAGGUAUUUUUUAAUAUAGCAUAUGAUGACUUGAAAUAGAGAAUAACCUAGUAAUUUUUGUUUAAGGGUUACCUCUCCUAACCAUCCUUUCAAUAAGUGAUUGAUAGAUGUUAUUUAUUCACUUAUUUUUCUAAAUAUCCUUUCUGACGUUAUCGGUAAGUUCGAUAUUAAGCCUUUAAGGUUCGACCCGAGGCUUAGUAGGUUGUGUGGCGUUAUAGGUAAGUUUUGAUAUUAAGUCUCUAAGGCUCGGUCUGAGGCUAGUGGGAUGUAUGGCAUUAUAGGUAGAUUCUGAUCUAUAUAACGAUAAUUUGGAUUGAACGAGAGCCAAUCCUAGAAAAAUUCCUACGAUUAUAUAUUUUAUAGAUGAAUCCCAUUAAUGUCAUGUUUAAGAUAGUUUAAGGCAAGAAUAAAAUGUUAUAAAGGUAAUUUUGUCAUUUAAUAGUGAAUAAGGACUUAAAGUACGAUCAAAUACAAGAAAUGGGCGGAUCAAUAUAGCAUAAAAAGGAUAUACAAGGUAAAAAAAAAGGCAGAAUAAAAAUUGGGGUGAAUUGUUUUCACAAUAUUUUCGUAAUAUUGGAGUCAAUUAAUUGAUUGAUCAGUUCAACUAAUUAUAAAAAGCACAAUAAGUAUAUAUUCAAAAAUUAAACUAGUUGUUACGAGAAUUCAACCAAUUGAUUUAAACGCAAUAAGUAGAAAGUUAUUGAUAAAACAAAUAUCAGAGUAAGAGAGAGAUUGCACAGGAGAUUGCACAGGAGAUUUAUAUUUGUUCACUCUUACAUCCAUCAAGAGCUACAUCCAGUCCUCAGCAAAUUACUAAGAAUUCACUAAAGCAAACACACAAGGUUUACAAGAACACAAAACACUCUUAACCACAUACAAAAUUCAGAAACCCUAUCUGAAUCUGUUUACACCAAAUUGCAGUGAAAACAAUAAGAUUUGAAUACACCUCGAUUAUUACAAAUGAAGCACAAGAAAAAUGUAAACCCAGAAACCUUCUUUACCAAACAAGAAUGAUCCAAGAAGCAAACUCAAACUCCAAGAAUGAUUUUAAAACUUUCUAUUUUUUCUCUCUUAUGAAAAUCGUUUUUUGAAAUAAUCAGAUUACAUCCUUAUAUAAGGUAAUAAUGAUUGUAUAAGAAUUUUGAUCAUUUAAUGAAAACAAUUGUUUCAAUUAAAAAUGCAUUGAUUAAUAUAACAGAAUUAUGUUAAAAACAUUUAAUUGAUUUUCUUUAAAUAGAUGAAAUCAACAAAUUUUAAACCAGUUCUUUUAUCGAAAUAACUUAUUGAUUUCACUUAACAAAAAAGACAAACUAAAAGACAAAUCAUUUUUAAAUCCUUAAAAACCGUAAGUGUUUUAAACCGGAUUGAUACGAUAAAUCAAUAUGUUAAAAAUACUUACUAUAGUCAACAAACAUGAAUAGAAGUAAUUUCAACUUAUUAAUAUAUGAAUCAACUCAUUAAAAAAGACAGAUUUAGAAAACAAAACUUUUCAAGGAGAUUACUAUUCAAGUAACUUGGAUCAUUGUGUAAUGAAAAGUUAUAUAUAAAAAGCCAUGUUUGUUGAACUUUAAGCUCUAGAACGCAACAACACAUGGUAGAUGAUUUCUCUUCCACCGGGCACAAACCAAUCGGUUGUCGUUGGGUACAUAAAAUCAAGUAUAAUUUUGAUGGGACCAUUGAACGAUAUAAAGCUCGUUUGGUCGCCAAGGGCUUCACCCAGGUUGAAGGUAUAGACUAUAAGGAAACUUUUUCUCCUACUGCCAAGCUCACCACUAUUCGUUGUUUAUUAAUUGUUGCUUCCCGCAACUAGUAUACACAUCAACUUGAUGUGAACAAUUCAUUCAUUCAUGUGAAAUUACAAGAAGAGGUGUAUAUGACUCCAACUCCUGGUCUUCGCCCAUAGGGGGAGAAUCCGGUAUGUCUGCUUCACAAAUUAAUUUAUGGUUUAAAACAAGCAUCACGAAAUUGGUUCUCAACUUUUGCAACUACAGUUAAAUCUACUGGUUACAUACAAUCCAAGGCAGAUUAUUCACUUUUUACUAAAUCUCAAGGUAAAAAGUUUACUGUUAUUCUCAUUUACGUCGAUGACAUCCUUAAAAAAAUCUAUUUAAUGUAAAAUCAUUUGGAUUAAAGCUUACUAAAUAUUACUCUUUUGGUCAUGGAAAAGUUAUGCAAUCCAACACAUGAAAAAUAGAAAAGACAAGUAUUGUCUACACAAAAAUUGUAGAAUGUCAUCAUGCAUAUUCAGGUGGAAUGAGUUCAUGAUUCCGCAUUUGCAAACUUUGGAAAAAAAAAUAAAUUUAGUAACCCAUUUGUUCUAACUUUAUAGAUGUAAAAUAUUUAAUAGAGACAAAGAAGUGAAAAAUAUUAUAGAUGUACUUCUACUUAAAAUGACAAACAAGCUGAAUGUAAAACAAAUUUUUAUUAUACAUAACUAAAUAGUAUGCUUCACUAAAGGAUGAAUUGCAUGUAUACUUAUACUUUACAUGAAAUAAUUAGGAGAAGGAGUUCAAUUCAUUCGAUGUCGAGUUUAUUGUUUCACCAUCUCUACUCAAUUCAUCUAGAAAUAAAGCAGGCUUUGGAGGUAUUUCCAAGUCUUCAAUGUCUCCUUCAAGCAUUUCCACUACUCUAUUCAUUGAGGGUCGAUCGCUUGGUUUCAAUUGUAUGCACCAAAGAGACACUAUGAUCAUUUUCUUUGCUAUUAUCUUUUCCUCUUUAGUCAAAUAUUCCUUAUCUAUAUCUUCCUCAUCUUUGAUAUGAUCAUAGAUCCAAAGUGGAAAGUAAAGUUGACUUGAGUGGUCUACAUGGGGAUUUAGAUUCUUCCUCUUGCUCGCCAUCUCCAUCAAAAGCAUUCCAAAGCUAUAAACAUCAGCUUUAUGGGAUAUUCCUCCAAUAUUUUUGUAAAAUAGUUCUGGAGCCAUAUAUCCAAUGGUUCCUCUUGCUAUAGUCAUUGUGACGAUACUAUUAUCUAUUGGAUAUAACUUUGCCAAUCCAAAGUCAGAAACCUUAGGGAUAAAGUUUUCAUCUAGUAAGAUGUUAUGAGGUUUGAUGUCAAAAUGCAAAAUCUGCAUCUCACACCCAUGGUGGAGAUAAGCAAUCCCACGAGCCACUCCAAUUGAUAUAUUAUAUACAUUUUCAUAGCUUAAAUGUAUAUUUCUCUCUUUUGAGAAAAUAAAUUUAUCAAGAGAUCCAUUGGGCAUAAAUUCAUAAACAAGAGCACGCUUUGAGCCACUAACACAAAAUCCAAUUAACCGUACCACAUUUUGAUGAUGUAUUCUUCCAAUAGUCGCAACUUCAUUGAUAAAAUCUUGUCCAUUUGCUUUGGAUUUGCCUAACAUUUUGAUGGCCACAGAAGGCCCACUGCACAACUUUGCCUUAAAGACAUAGCCAAAUCCUCCUUCACCUAACUUCUCUUUGAAACCAGCAGACAUUUUCUUGAUUUCCUUAUAUGAAUAUCUAAUAGGUGCCAAGCUAUUUUGUUGAAGGUAAUUUUCAAUAUUUUCAUACAUUGAUGUAUGUCUUUUUCUCCAUUUACAUAUAAAAAUAACAAUUAAAAAUGGCAAUCCAAACAAAAGUUUGUAGACCCAUAAUAUAGAGAUAUACAUGAGAAUACCUGUAAUAAAUUUUUACUUUAGUGACACUUAUACUAUAAAAUGCAACAAGGUAUUUGUUAAAGUAAAUUUUCGUUCAUAAAGUCCAAACAUGACAUAUCUAUUUACUUGGUAACAUUACAAAAAGAGUAAAUUUAAUGUUUAGCAUAAACAAUUAUCAAUAAAUUUCUUUUUUUUAUGUUACUCUUUAUAUAAAUAAAUUUUUUCUGUAACAUUAAUGUGUCCUAAAACCUAAUUCAGUGAUGGUUGUAAAAUAUAAAAAAAAAACAGAUUUUUUUUAAAUAAUUUAUUUGUUUCUAUAAACAUUUUAAAUUCAAUUUGUGUUUCUUUAACUUUUUUAACGUAUUUACUAUAACUUUUUGUUAUUUACUACAACUUUUUGUCUUCUCUUAUUUCCUAACAUUAGUUCCUACAGGUUCGAUAUUCAUCAUUAAAAACAAAUUAUUACUUCUAAUUCGGUACACUUGCUGAAUUAAAGAGUAAUCAACUAUCCCAAAUAUUGAAUAAAUAACUUUCUUAAAGAGUAAAAAUCACAAUAUAAAAAAUGUUAUCAAAUAAAAAUUAGUCAUAAUAGAAAUUUCUUAACAGACUAUAAUCUAUUGUUUUGCAAAUGUUGAGAGGGAAAAUACCUCGAAGAUUUGAGUCUGGGAUAUUUGACAUGGUGAACCCUUAAAAGAUAAAGUGCAAUCUUGUGUAGUAUGAAAAGUUCUUGAAAUAAACUAAAUUAAAAAAUAAGAAAAAAUAAUAAAUUUUUAGAUUACUUAAUAAACUAAAGAUUUACAAAUUUAAUUUAAAAAAUUGAGGUUUACAAUGUAAUUCAUCAUUUGAAGAAAAUCAGAAAAGUGUGUAAUUAAGAUUAUUGUAUAGUAAAAGAAUAGUUUUUUUAAAAUGGAAUGAAUCAAAUGACUGACAAGAACAAUAAAAAUAAGUUUUAAUAGGUUGUUUAAUAAAUUAAAUAUAUUUCAGUAAUUUAAAAUGAAAACGGAUAAUUCAUAUCCAAUUUAAAAUAUUAGAUAUUAUUUACAAUUGUGCCCAAUCAAUACGGAAAUUAAAAUUUAUCUAUUAAAAAAAAAGUUAAACUUUCAACAAUAUUUUUUAGUAUAAUUGUUCUCAUAUAUUACUUUCACCAAACAGUUCAUAUUAUAACCAAUCAUUGAAAGGGUGAAAAUUUUAUAUUAUAACCAAUCAUUGAAAGGGUUGAAAAUUUUAAAACUAAAAUAGAAUUAAAAAUGACAGUUUAAUCUAAUAAAUUCUAAAUCUUAAAUCAUAAACUAUUGUAAAAAAUGCUUGGAAAUUUUUAAAAACAAAAUAAAAUUUUAAAAAAAAAACAGAGAAUUGUAUCUUGAACCGUAGCCAAAUCUUCUAUUUUUUAACAUUUCUGUAAAUGAAAAUUUUAGAACUAUUAAUAAAAGUCUAUUUUAAUCAUUUUUGUGUAAUUAAAGAAUUUAGAAAUUAAGAUGAUAAAAUUGUACCUGGUAUACAGAAUUUUAGCACUUCCAGCAGUGGCAGACUAAAUGAGCCUGAAAUGAAGGAAAAUAUGAAGUUUAGAAUAGUGGUGAUCUCUACAGUUUGAUAAAGGUUAUAGCGGUCAAUAAGUUUAACAGUUACUUAUUUUAAAGAAAAUAAAUGUUUAAUUUAAUGCAUAUGUUCUUAUAAAUACACGUAAAAUAUAAAAGAUACAAAAAUUGGUUUAAACUAAUUGUUUACAAGCUUUUCAGUUAAUUUAAAUGUAUAUUUAGAAGAUUUAAACUACAUGAGUAAGGAGCAUAAUAACGUGCUUAUCUAAAAAAAUUGGUUAAUAUAUUUUGGUUUAGGAUCACUCACCUUUGAUGCAUUGAAGCUUGUGGUUAGAAGAGUCGACAUAGCAAUCUCUAUCAUCAUCUGGACAAUGUUUCUGACAGACGAGUUGUAUCCAUGAAAUCUCGAAUCCAUAGGCGAGUGCGGUGUGAAUGGAAGAGUAGGAAUGGUUAUCGAAAGUGGAGAGAGAAGUGGGAGCAACAAGCUUUACCUCACACCCAACUUCUAAGUCCUCUGCUUUUAGGUCUCCACCAAUUGCAUAUGAAUACCCCUUCCCCUCCCACUUCACCCACUCUCCACUCUCCACAUACUUCUCUUUCUCUCUCACCGAAUGGUUACAAUUCACAAACACUAUAUGCGAGAAACUCAGAGAUUCCCAAUUUAUAGAGGCAUCUAGACCGGCUUGGUAUGGAUUCGAGUGGUAAAAGGAAGUGUAAGUGUCAGAGAAAUUGGAGCGAGAGAGGAAACGGAGAGGAAGGGAGGAGAGAUUAUGGUGCUGCAGAGCAGGAUCAACAACUCUCACUGUGUAGUUCUUGUAGUUUAUUGACUUCACAUGAUAUUGUCCAGAGUACAGAUACAACACCGUAAAGUUAUGCUCACAACCAAGUUCAUACCUUUCCUCACCACACUUUUCUGGGUCGCCUUUUAAUCGAAAUGGAUAACUGAUGUUGCUGAUUUUACCACAGGAAGAAGGGGGACAAACGUGUUCUUGGUGGUCCUUGGUAGCAGAAAUAUGGUGGAGUAGAAGUAGCAGUACCACCAACACUGCUCUCUCUCUCCACAUCAUGUCCAGACUGUUUCUCACUGAAUUCAAGUGCAAACAAAUCCAAGUUAGAUAUUUAUAUUUAAACAUCACACACUGAAUUUAUAGCUAUAAAGGACCACAUUUUUCCUUUUACAAAAUUGUUUGAAGACUUAUGAUACUUAAAACGUAGACUUUGACUCAGAAACCGCGUUAUCUUGUUUCCGCAACUCAUUUUAAUCCAUACAAAAUUUUAAAUAUUCGUGAAGUGCAUGAAUUUUGAUUUCGGUAUUUAAUCAUCUAAUUUUGUUGAUGGUGUUCUUUGAGUUUCUGAAACCAUCCUAAAUUGUUUGUUUUAAAAGCUUAUAUUUUGAAAAAUAAUUUUAAUGACCUUAGAAUUUCUGUGAGUCCCAAAAUAAUGUUUGUUUGGUUAAGAAACUUCAACAUGUGAUAGGUACAUAAAUUGUUUUAGUGAAUUUUUCCCCGAAAAUGGCCUCAUAUGUUUCUUUGUGUUAAUUUCUUGAACAUAUUCUUCUUGGACAUGGGAGCAAGAAAGAGUGUGUGGUGGGAGAACGAAGCACUAACAAUUUUCUGUAUGUGUAAAAGGUAAAGGAGAGGGAAAAACAUAUGGAAGCAAUUCCAAACACGUAACCCAAAAUUCCAGCAUACUUUUCAACUUGUGGCCUUGAAAACUCAAUAAUUAAAAGUGCGUUUCGAAGAAUUUGACGUAGAUCUCCAAAAUUAUAAUGUCGCAAAAAUGUAUAUGACCUUGUGGACUUUGACCUUGAUAAAGUUAAUAAAAGUGAACAACUCAGAGAUAAUUCUUGAUAGAAUUAAACACUUGAGUUACAUAGGAUGAGCCGUGAGAUCCUCACUCGGCUAAUUAGUAAUUGAAAGAAUAAAAAAUCAUUAAGCAAUUUUUUUUGGUAGAAAAGCUAGCAGGAAAUUUCUAAACCAUGUUUUCUGCAUGCAGGUAUCAAAACCCUCAAGUGCAUGUAGUUUCAUUUGAUGUGGUUGUCAUUAAUACUUCAUGAUCCUCUUCAUCUUGUUCGUGAUUACUAUCUUCUUGAGCACAAUUGGAAGCAUGAUUAUCACCUUUUGAUCUGCACUUAUUUGCAUAAUGGCCACGUUUAUGGCAAUUAUAACACUNNNNNNNNNNNNNNNNNNNNNNNNNNNNNNNNNNNNNNNNNNNNNNNNNNNNNNNNNNNNNNNNNNNNNNNNNNNNNNNNNNNNNNNNNNNNNNNNNNNNACAUGGUAGCUAUUUCAGCAAAGGUCGUGGUGGCUAAAAUCAUGGAGGCGCUUGACGCGGGGGACGUGGUCGCGGAGGACGAGGAGGCAUUUAUAAUAAAUCAAAUGUUGAGUGUUAUAAUUGCCAUAAACGUGGCCAUUAUGCAAAUAAGUGCAGAUCAAAAGGUGAUAAUCAUGCUUCCAAUUGUGCUCAAGAAGAUAGUAAUCACGAACAAGAUGAAGAGGAUCAUGAAGUAUUAAUGACAACCACAUCAAAUGAAACUCCAAACAAUCAGACUUGGUAUUUGGAUACAGGUUGCACGAAUCAUAUGUGUGGUCAGAAGGAGCUGUUUGCAGAUUUGGAUGACUCAUUUCGAACAAAAGUGAAAUUCGGUGAUGACAGGUUCGUUCCGGUGAUUGGAAAAUGGUGAAUUCUUAUUACAUUAAAGAAUGGUGAUCACAGGUACAUUUAUGAUGUUUUCUAUGUACCUGACAUGAAAAGUAAUCUGUUGAGUGUGGGACAACUGGCUGAAAAGGGUUACGUGAUGCACAUAGUUGAAAAUAAAUUCUCAAUUUUUGAUAGGUAAUUUGAUUCUUAAAACCUUUUUAUCAAAAAACCGCAUGUUUCCAGUAGAUAUUCAUAUGGGUGAUUUAAAGUGCUUGAAUGUAAUAAUGAAUAAUGAAUCGUGGUUAUGACAUUUACGCUUUGGGCACUUAAAUUUUCAGAGUUUGGAAAAUCUUUCCAAAAGAAAUUUAGUGAAUGGUUUACCCCAUAUUUAUCACCCUAAUCAAUUGUGUGAGGCUUGCAUCUUUGGAAAGAAUCACAGGAUACCAUUUGUUAAGGAGUCUUGGCGUGCAAAAUUUCCUUUGGAGCUUGUUCAUACAGAUGUUUGUGGCCCGAUGAACAUAUCAUCAGUUGGAGGUAAUAAGUAUUUUUUAACCUUUAUUGAUGAUUUUUCAAGGAAAACCUGGAUUUAUGUAUUGAAAAGCAAGGAUGAGGUAUUCCACUGCUUUAAAAUAUUUAAAGCAUUUGUUGAAAGAGAGAGUGNNNNNNNNNNNNNNNNNNNNNNNNNNNNNNNNNNNNNNNNNNNNNNNNNNNNNNNNNNNNNNNNNNNNNNNNNNNNNNNNNNNNNNNNNNNNNNNNNNNNUGAUGGAGCGACCAAGAAGGCAACAACGACAACCUGUACACCUUCAAGAUUGUGAAGUAAAUCUUGAUGGUGAAGUUGAUGACAAUGGAGAUUUAGUUCACUUUGCUUUUCUUGCAGAAUCAGAACCUGUGAGACUUGCCGAUGCCAUUCAACACCCGAAAUGGCAAAAGGCUAUGAAUGAAGAAUUGAUGGCGAUUGAGAAAAACAAUGUCAUGACUCAAAUUGGGAAGGUUGUUCCAAAUCAGAAUUAAGGGAGGAUGUUGGUUAUUAAUUCAUAUUUUAUUAUUAUUAAUUCAGAUUUUAUUACCCUUAAACUAUUUUACCGUUAUAUUGCAUUAAUGGUCAAUUUACAGGCCUGUUAGUAUUCCUAUUUUAUAGCUUCCAGUAAUUGUGAUUUUAUUAUAUAUAUGAUUGAGUAAAUCAAAAUGAAUAACUUUAGUUUUGUAAUUUUUUGCAAUUACGUUCAAUCGGUUGCUAUAACCUUUUGCCUUCUCUUAUUUCCUUCAAUUAGUUCCUACACACUCACCAUUUAACGUUUUGUAUAAAGUGACGUUUUAUGUGUAUAAUUAAAAUUGUCGUAAUUUAUUUGAUCGGAAAACGAUUUCAGUGAAAAAACAACACAUAAACAUCACUAUAUACUAUACAAUAUGAUGUUUUUAACUAUCAUUAUUUUAAGAAAAAUUUGAAAAACAAUACUUAAGUUUCAAUAUACGUAAAUUGAAUACUAAAUAAAUAGAAUUCAGUCACCAAUUUAUAAUCUCAUUAUUUAAUAAAUUUGUUUUCAUAAUUAAACAACUAAACAAAUUUAUAAUACCAUUUAAUUAAAUCUAUUUUCACAAUAAAAAAAUUAAAUACUACUCAUAGUUAUAAUAAACAUUCAUUUAUUGCAUUGAAAACUGAACACAAAAUUAAUAGUUGUUCAAAAGUACACCAAGAUAAAUACACAAAAUAUUUUUAAAUAUGAUAACAUCUUAUUAGACUAUUACAAUCAUCUUCCUUAAUAUUUACUUCCACCACUUGAUUCUAUUAUUUUGUUGGGUGAUAAAGCACAAUUUCCAACCUAAGGUGCCUACAUCUAAUGCUUAAAAUAGAUAAAAAAUAAUUUCAGAUUAUUCAUUUUCAAUUUUUAUAAUUAUAAAAUAAAAGAAGACAUUAAUAAUAAAUAUUUAAGUAUAUUAAGUUAUACCUCAUUCCAAUUGACAUAAUUUUAGGUUAUUUGAAAAACCUUUCUUUAACAUCAUUAAAAGUUCUAGAUGUAUUAUAAACUAGAGAGUUAUAAAAAUAAAGAAAUGUAUUUUUCUAUUCAAGAAUAACAAUUAAAUAUACAAUCAUUGUAAUUUUGAAUUUCUUUACAGUUUUUAUUAAAAAAAAUUACAAUUGCAAUUACAACUACAACUAAUUUAUUUUAUUGUUAUCCUUAAUGGGAUGUUUUUUCUUACUCUUGAAAGAAAUAAAAUAAUGUAUAUAUUUGUAGUAGGCAAAGCUGUAGUAGGCAAAUAUAGGUUUCAAUAUUUUUCCAUCUUCUAGCCUGAAACAAUCUCAAAUUAUAGAAAAGCUUAGCAUUUAGUUUGCUAAAUGUAGACAACACUAAUAAUUAGCAAGAUAUUGAUUCUAAUUAUCUAGUGGUCUGUUGGAGAGAGUUCAUAAAAUUUAGUUAAAGCGAGAUUGUAGAUAAUCUGCUGAAAAGAGUUAUUUAUGUAUUUUUCAUUAAUUUCUCAUAGAAAUUAAUAGUAAACGCUCUCUCAACCAUUUAAACAAAUGUCAUUUUAAUGUACAAUCAACAAACCAAUGUCAAUGAAGUCUAUGUUUCGUUAAAGCCACGUAAGAUUUUACUUGAGUGAAUGAAUAUUAUGGUAAAGAAUACUUUGUUUUAGAUGAUUAAGGCAAGUAAAAUAAGAAUAUGGAAUGUGUGUACGGUAAGUUCGUUAAUUUAAGAUUUAUUCAUAAAGAAUCAUUUCAUUGAUAUAAUAGGUUUCUAUUUGUUCUUAGAUUUUUUUAUGAAUAAAUAUAGUCUACUCAUAUAUUGUUUUUGUUAACACAUGAAUUUUAAUAUAGUUUUUUAUUUUUAUUUUUUAUUUUUUUUAAUAAUAUAUUUUUUCAUGUGAUGACACUCACAUAUUAUUGCUAUUACUUGAGGUGUCAACCUAACUGAAAUUUCAAGUUAUAUAAUGAUGCUUGACAUGAAAGUUUUUUAUAAAAAAAAAAUAAAAAAAUUAUAUUUGGUUCAUACAUAUACAUUAUAUACAUUUGAUCCAUUUAGAUAGUAACGUUCUAAUGAAAAAGUAAAUUUAAUAUACUUAAACAAAUAUCAAUAUAUUUGGUUGUUGGAGUUGCUAAAUAUAAUGUGUUUCUUUUUCCUAUGCCACAAGAAAAUUUUGUCUUUAACAUUGGUAUACAUAUCUUAGACCAAAUUGACAAAUGGUUACCGAAAUUGAAAAAUAUUUUUUUAGUAAAAUAUGUUUUUCGUCAUUCUAAAUUUUUUUAAACAGUUUUUCUUUCAAUUAUUUUGACUUAUUUUCAUACAUCUGUUUGGAAUUUGAGUUUUGGUUCUGGAGGUAACAUUUAAUAGCGUUUAUUAAGCACUAUUCAAACUACUCUAAAUAUAAAAGUGGUAUAUUUUAAAAAUAAUGGAAAAAAUAUUUAGAGUGAUAAAAAUAUAAUUUUGAGAAAUAUAAAUAAAUAAUAUUUUUUUUCUGCGUUUGUUUAUUGCAACGUAGGGAUCAGAAUAAACAAAUUAAGCCAAUUUUAUGUAUGUCCACUUCUUUUACUGCAAACUAUAGCAUAUAAAAAUUCUUGUCCAGAUGAUAUUAAAAUUAAAAAAAACUGUAAAUUAAGUUGUUGUAAAGUGUGUGAACUUUAUAUAUAUCUCUUAUAAUUAAAGCAUAGGUAAAUUAAGGUGAUAAAAAUUGUAAAUAUAAUUUUAAGGAAUUAGUUUGAGAACCCAAUUAAAGAAGUAUUUCAUGACUUACUUAAAUAAAGACGAGACAUAAAUAUAUUAUAGUAAAUAAUGGAAAAAUGAUCGAAAUAAAUUUUUAUAUCCUGAUUGAGAAACAAUAUUAAUAAUGCAUUUGAUUUUUUUUGUACUUUAAAUAUUUCCAAAUUAUUCUAGGACUAAAAGUUCCACCACAUGUAGAACUGUGGCGGAAAUAUCUUUCCAUUAAUAUCGUGUGUCUUAUAUAAACACUUGAUAUGCACGUAUAUAAUUGACGCAGUCAAAUGACAAUAUACUUUGAAAUUAAUAAUUAUUGAUUUAUUUUUAUCAGUUGAACGUAGGUAUACACUAACAUUUAAUUUAAUGUGUUAAAAUUUUCACAUCCAUUAAAAAUUAGAAUAUUAAAUGAAUACAAAAUAUAAUCCAAACUCUCUAUCGAAGUUAAAUGAAUUUGAACAAAUCAUAUAACUAAUUCGACAUCAGAAUUCAUAUGUUCUUUUCAUCAGACAACAACAACCCAAGUUGUGUGGCUUCUUCCUCAUCAUCAACUUAUAAUUUCUAACCUCUCUGGUACGCUUGUUAUUACAAGGCUAUUUUUUUUUUUUCAAAUUCCAUAUAUUAUGUAUUGUAAAACACAUAAAUUCUUUUAGGUGAAACUUAUGUGUCAACUUUCAAUCAAUAUUCACUGUCGGUCAUUAAUUCAAAUUUUAUUUACUAAAUUAGAGUUUGAAUUAGUCUUGAAUUGUUGUCCUAGUUUACAGUCAGUAUUACGUUAGUGGUUUUGAAAGUGUACAAGGCUAUUAGUAUUGUGUUAGUGUUUAGUUAUUACUUAUAUUUUAUAGUUUUUGGUAGUUGUAAUUUUAUUUUUAUAUAUUGUCGAAGUAAAUCAACAAAAUGCAUGCAGUAUAUUGUCUUCUAUUAUUUCUUUCAAACAGUUUCUACAAUUGUUAUCAAAUCCAGAUUGUCUGUUAUCAUGAAAUCUACCUAAUUAUUGGUCCCUAUCUUUGAUUGAAAAAAAUUACAAUCGAUGAUGCGUGCAGAUGAGAGUUUUGUUCGAUUAUCAUGAGUUAUGGGAUGUCAUUGAGAAUGGAGUGUCUGCAUUAGCUGCUAAUGCAACUGAGACGCAAUGAGUAGCGCAUCGUGACCAGAAGAAGAAGGACAAUAAGACUUUGUGUCUCAUCUAUCAAGGGAUGAAUGACGAAACCUUUGAGCAGAUAAAAGGAGCAACAACUGCAAGUGAAGCUUAGACCAUUUUGUUAACCAAUUAUAAAGGCGAUGACAAGAUCAAGAGGGUGUGCCUUCAAACUUUAAGACGCCAAUAUGAACUGCGGUAGAUGGAAACCACAAAGACUGUUGAUGUUUAUAUCAAUAGAGUUCUUGCCUUAACGAAUGAGAUGAAGACCAAUAGUGAAACACAUUCGGAGCAGGCAAAGGUGGAGAAGAUUUUGAGGUCUUUAACUCCCAUAUUUGAACAUGUUGCCGCAAUUGAAAAGGCCAAUGCCCUUUUAACAAUGACAGUAAGGUUAUUGUCCGGUUCCCUACGAACGUAUGAGUAGUGGAUGAAUGACAAUAAGAUUGAAAAACCAAUUGAACAGGCUUUACAAGCACAAUCCUCAAUUCCAAGCCUCAAUUGGUAACUCCUAUCAUAAGCACGGUAGUUCACAAGGUAGAGGACGUGGACGUGGUGGUAGCUAUUCCAAUAAAGGUUGUGGUGGCCAGAACCAUGGAGGUGCUGAGCAAAACAACACUGGUUCCAAUCACAAUCUGAGUUCAAAUAACUCUUGGCGCGAAGGACGUGGUCGCGGAGGACGUAGGGACAUGUAUAAUAAAUCAAAUGUGUAAUGUUAUAACUACCAUAAGCGCGACCAUUAUGCAAAUGAAUGUAGAUCAAAAGGUGAUAAUCAUGCUGUCAAUUGUGCUAAAGAAGACUAUAAUCACGAACAAGAUCAAGAGGAUCAUGCAUUACUAAUGGUAGCCAUAUCAAAUGAAACUCCAAACAAUCAGACGUGGUAUUUAGAUACAGGUUGCAAGAAUCAUAUGUGUGGUCAGAAGGAGCUGUUUGCAUAUUUGGAUGACUCAUUUCGCACAAAAGUGAAAUUCGGUGAUGGCAGAUUCGUUUCGGUGACUGGAAAAGGGCAGAUUCUUAUCACAUUGAAGAAUAGUGAUCACAGGUAUAUCUAUGAUGUUUUCUAUACCUGAUAUGAGAAGUAAUCUAUUGAGUAUGAGACAGUUUGCCGAAAAGGGUUACGUGAUGCACAUAGUUGAAAAUCAAUUCUCAAUUUUUUAUAAAGAAGGUAGCUUGAUUCUUAAAUUUUUUUUAUAAAAAAAUCGCAUGUUUCUAGUAUAUUUUAAUAUGGGUGAUUUCAAGUGCUUGAAUGCAAUAAUGAAUAAUGAAUCGUGGUUAUGACAUUUACGUUUUGGCCACUUAAAUUUUCAGAGUUUGGAAAAAUCUCUCCAAAUUGGUUUACCCCAUAUUCAUUACUCUGAUCAAUUGUGUGAGGCUUGCAUUUUUGGAAAGAAUCACAGGAUACCAUUUGUUAAAGAGUCUUGGCGUGCGAAAUUUCCUUUGCGCUUGAUCAUACAGAUGUUUGUGGUUUGAUGAACAUAUCAUCAAUUGAAGGUAAUUCGUAUUUUCUAACCUUUAUUGAUGAUUUUUCAAGGAAAACCUUUGAAAAACAAUGAUGAGGUAUUCCACUACUUUAAAAUAUUUAAAGCAUUUGUUGAAAGACAUAGUGGCAGACUAAUUAAGAUGGUGCGUAGUGAUGGAGGGGUGAGUACAAGUCUAAUGAGUUCAAAAGACAUUGUGAAGAACUUGGGUUGCAGCAUAACAUAACAUGUCCCAACACUCCUCAACACAACGGAGUAGCCGAGAGAAAGAAUAGAACAAUCAUGGAUAUGGCGAGGAGCAUGCUUAAAGCGAAAGGUAUGCCAAAUUAUUUUUGGGCUGAAGCUAUAACAUGUGAGGUAUAUUUGAUAAACAUAUCACCCAUUUGGAGUGUUCCUAACACAACUCCGAUUGAGGCAUGGAGCGGAUUCAAACCCAAUGUGCAACACUUGAAGGUAUUUGGGUCAAUUACUUAUGCUCAUGUCCCCAAGGCAACAAGAUCGAAGUUGGAUGAUAAGGCAAUGUAGAUCACUUUCAUUGGAUAUAAGCAUGGGGGAUACAAACUGUACAAUCCAAUGACAAAGAAUGUGAUUGUUAGCCGUGAUAUUACAUUUGCCGAAGAUGAGGAAUGGCAAUGGAAUGCAGCAGUUGAAAUGGAUUCGAAAAAACGAUAUAUUUACAUUUUGAACGAUGAUGUGAAAGAUGGAGUAACUCUUGAAGCACCUGUCGUUCAACCUGAAGUUGUAAUUCAACUUGAAGUUGCAGCUCCAAUUGCAACUACGAUGGAGCGACGAAGAAGGCAACAACGACAACCUGUACUCCUUCAAGAUUACGAAGUAAAUCUUGAUGAUGAAGUUGAUGACAAUGGAGAAUUGAUUCACUUUGCUUUACUUGCAGAUUUAGAACCCGUGAGACUCGCAAAUGCCAUUCAAUACCCCAAAUGGCAAGAGGCUAUGAAUGAAAAAUUGAUGGCGAUUGAGAAAACAAUACAUGACAACUCACUGAUCUUCCGAAAGGACACAAAGCAAUUGAUGUGAAGUGGGUGUACAAGAUUAAAGUGAAAGCAAAUGGUGAGAUUGACAGAUACAAGGCAAGGUUGGUAGCAAAAGGAUUUGAGCAAAGAGAAGGCUAUGAUUACGAAGAAAUAUCUUCUCCUAUAGCUCGAAUGGAAAUAGUGAGAUUAAUCAUUGCUUUGGUUGCACAAAGGCAAUGGAAAAUUCACCAAAUGGAUGUCAAGUAUGCGUUUCUAAACGACCUACUUGAUGAAGAGGUUUAUGUAAAGCAGUCGUCGGGUUUCAUACAAUCCGGCAAAGAGGAGAAGUUGUACAGACUAACUAAGGCUUUAUAUGGUCUUAAACAGACACCAAGAGCUUAGAACAAAAGGAUUGAUUCAUUUUUCUUCAUGCCACUGGAUUAAAAAAAUGUGCAUCAGAUCAUGGUCUUUAUGUAAAGACUAAUGAUUAUGGAGAUUUGCUAAUUUUAUAUCUCUAUAUUGAUGAUGUGAUUUUUACAGUAAGUAAUCUCAAAAUGAUUGGUGACUUCAAGCAUAUCAUGAUGAAGGAAUUUGAGAUGUCUGAUCUCGGUCUUAUGUCCUACUUUUUGGACAUUGAAGUCAUCCAAGGAGACGAUAAAAUCUUUAUUCAUCAGAGAAAAUUUGCUGCUGAGUUUUUAAAGAAGUUUAAGAUGGAGGAUUCAAACUCAGUUAAGACUCCAAUUGAAACUGGAAUUCAGCUUACGAAGGAAGGUGACUCACUUGUACUAGACUCGACUUAUGUUAUGCUGUGGGAUUGGUUCGUCGGUACAUGGAGUCACCUCGACGGGUUCAUUUACAAGUUGUAAAUAGAAUUAUGCGCUACAUCAAAGGUACUACAACUCUUGGUCUAUUUUACUUUUCAUCUAAGAAGAUUGAGAUUGUCGAAUACUCAGAAAAUGAUUGGGGUAGAGAUUGAGACGAGAGGAAGAGCACGAGUGGUCAUUGUUUUAUGCUCGGAAAAACUGUUUGUUUGUGGUCAUCAAAAAAACAGUCAAUUAUUGCAUUAUCCACUUGUGAAGCUGAGCAUGUAACAGCAGCAACAAGUGCUUGUAAAUCAAUUUGGCUCAACAAUAUUAUGACUCAAAUUGGUAUUAAUCUCGAUGUUCCAAUCAAUAUUUAUUUUAACAAUGUCUCUGCAAUUAAUCUAGCAAAAAAUCCGGUUUUUCAUCAAAGAAGUAAACACAUUGAUUUUCGAUAUCACUUCCUGCGAGACCAAGUUAGGAAGAACAAAUUAGAAUACUGCAGAUCAGAAGAUCAGAUAAUAGAUAUUCUAACUAUGCCAUUGAAGAUCGAUGCUUUCAUCAAGUCAAGAGAUCUGUUGGGCAUGAAGGUUGUUGGUCAUUAAUUCAAAUUUUAUUUUUACUAAAUUAGAGUUUAAAUUAGUCUUGAAUUGUUGUCCUAGUUUACCGUUAGUAUUGCGUUAGUGAUCUAGUGGUUUUGAAAGUGUAGUCCUAGUUUAUAAGGUUGUUAGUAUUGUGUUAGUGUUUAAUUAUUGCUCCUAUUUUGUAGCUUCUGAUAGUUGUAAAUUUUUUUUUUAUAUAUUGUAAAAGUAAAUCAACAAAAUGUAUGAGUUCAGUACUAUAUUGCCUUCUAUUAUUUCUUUCCAAUAGUUUCUAUACUUUCUACCAAAUAAUCUGUGAUAAAUUCCCUUUUGUACAAAAAGGAAAACAAUUUGAUGUAAAUAGUCGAAAAUUGAUCAAAGAUGGUUCUAUUCUUGAAAACCUAAAUUUAUAAGAAAAUUGACAUAUUAAAAAGAAAAUUCAGUGUAGAUUAGAAUUUAUGUUAUUAUUUUAAAGUGUCAAUAAAAAUAUUGUUGUAUCGAUGAGCCUAUCAUCUGCUUAAGACUAAGGUUGUGUACUCAUAGGUCAAGGUUCAACCCUUGCCAUCAGAAAUAUUAUCUAAACUGAAAGAGUUAUUAGGGUUAUUUGGUUUCAACGAGUGAUUUACGAGAAGAAAGAAACUUUCACAAAUCAAAUAAUAAAAAAUUAAUAAAUUUUUUAGAAAAAAGAUUAAACCUUAUUUUUUCACAAAUAUGCAAAAUUUUGUGGAAAAUCAUGGUUAAAAUAUAUAUUAUAUUAAAUAUAUAUUUUAUAAUUAUUAUAUUAAAUAUACAUUAUUAUUUCCUUUAUAUUCAUAUUCAUAUUUAUAUUUAUAUUAUAAUAAAAUAAGUAUAAUUAACUAUGUAAUAUAAUAUAAAUAAUAAUAAUUAUUAAAAUAUUAAUAAAUAUAUAUAAAAUGAUAAUUAAAAUAAAAUACUAAUAAUAAAUUUAUGAAAUAACAACUAUAAUAAAAUAAUUAAAAAAGUUAUAAAUAAUAAAUAAUAAUUAUAAAAAUAAAUAAUAGUAAUAAUAGUAAAAUUAAAAUUAUUAAUUAAUUAUAAAAUUAUUAUCUUUUAUUUAGUUAAAAUUAAUUUAUAUUAAUAUAAUUAAAUUCAUUAUUAUCUAUAAAUCUAUAAAUAUAUAUAUAUAUAUAUAUUAUUUUAUAACUUUUAAAAAUUUAUUAUAUCUAUGAAAUCACUCACAAAAUUUUAUAAAUUUUUUCUUAACUUUUCACUUUUAUUUUACUUAAUCCAAACAAUCUGACUUUAUCUUUAAAUUCACUUUUUCAAAUCUACAGGGGAGUUCUCUGAAGAAGAAAUUAGGACUGCGGUUUGGAAUUGUGAAAGUUCUAAGAGCCAUGACCCUGAUGGAUUUAAUUUUGGUUUCAUAAAGUUUUGUUGGGAAAUUUUAAGGAUGGAUGUGAUGUCAGCGGUGAAGGAUUUUGCGACAAAGAGCCAUUGGCCUAGAGGUUCAAAUGCUUCCUUCCUUUGUCUUGUUCCAAAAGUUGAAAAUCCUUUGCAGCUUGGUGAGUUUAGGCAUAUUUCUUUGAUAGGAUGUUUGUAUAAAAUUAUCUCAAAAGCGUUGUCUCUACGUUUGAAAAAGGUGAUUAGCAAAGUGAUUGAUGUUAGACAGUCUGCUUUUCUUGAAGGUAGGGGUUUGUUGGACAGUGUGCUGGUAGCGAAUGAGGUGCUGGAAGAAUAUAAAAGGAAAAAGAAGAGUUGUGUGUUCUUCAAAGUUGACUAUGAAAAAGCAUAUGACUCGGUUAGCUGGGAGUUCCUAUAUUAUAUGUUGGAAAGAUUGGGUUUUUGUGCUCAAUGGAUUCGAUGGAUAAAGUGUUGUUUAGAAUCUGCUUCAGUCUCUGUAUUAGUGAAUGGCAGUCCAACUGGGGAAUUUACUCCUCGGAGGGGACUUCGUCAAGGUGACCCGCUUGCUCCGUUCCUCUUCCUUAUAGUUGCAGAAGGGUUGGCUGGGGUGUCUAGGAUGGCUGAAGAGAAGAAUUUGAUUGAUAGUCUGGAGGUUGGAAGAGAUAAGGUGAAGGUUAGUAUGUUACAAUAUGCUGACGAUACAUUAUUCUUUUGCGAAGCGAAUACCAAAAGUGUUUUUAAUAUUAAGGCUAUCUUGCUUUGCUUUGAGCUCGCUUCUGGGCUUAAGGUGAAUUUUUUAAAAAGCAGUAUUGGCGGGAUGGGGUUGGAUCAAUGUUCGCUUCAGCGUUUUGCAGCUACUCUUAACUGUAAGGUGAUGGUAACUCCUUUUGUCUAUUUAGGGUUACCGGUAGGAGGUUGCCAUAAGCGCAGUGUUUUUUGGAACGGGGUGUUAGAGAGAGUUCAGGGCAAGCUGUCGAGGUGGAAAGGCAGGUGUUUGUCGAUGGCUGGGAGGAUCUGUUUGAUUAAUUCAGUCCUCUCCUCAGUUCUGUUAUUCUUUAUGUCCCUAUUCAAACUGCCAUCUGGGGUGGCUGACAAGUUAGUUCGGAUCCAAAGAAAUUUCCUUUGGGGGUGGGGUUCUGACAGAAGGAAGAUUGCUUGGGCCUCUUGGAAUAAGGUUUGUGAGCCUCGGGACUACGGGGGUCUUGGAAUCAUUGACUUAAAGACUUUUAACCUGGCCCUGCUAGGCAAGUGGAUUUGGAGGUGGGGGUCGGCCAAGGGAGGUUUGUGGAAAGAGAUUCUUGACUCUAAAUAUGGUGGAUGGAGGAAUUUGAGAGCGGAAGGUAAACCCUGCAGGGGUUCUCUUUNNNNNNNNNNNNNNNNNNNNNNNNNNNNNNNNNNNNNNNNNNNNNNNNNNNNNNNNNNNNNNNNNNNNNNNNNNNNNNNNNNNNNNNNNNNNNNNNNNNNNNNNNNNNNNNNNNNNNNNNNNNNNNNNNNNNNNNNNNNNNNNNNNNNNNNNNNNNNNNNNNNNNNNNNNNNNNNNNNNNNNNNNNNNNNNNNNNNNNNNNACUGGUUUAAUGGUGUUUGGAUUUGGCAUUUGUGCUGGCGUAGAUCCCUCUUUGACUGGGAGAAGUUGUUGGAGGAGCAGUUGAGUCAGUUGCAGCAAGGGGUGAAGAUGGAUGUGGGAGGGGUGGAUAGCUGGGUCUGGAAGGCUGAGGGGUCUCAAAGUUUUAAUGUUAACUCAGCUUAUAGCAAGGUAAGGAGGGUUAGUGAUGGGGAGUCCUCUCCGACCUACUGUAGGUUGUGGAGGUGUAAAGCCUUGCCUUCUGCUGUAUUCUUGGCCUGGAGAGUUUUGGAAAAUAGGAUUGCAACUAGGGUUAAUUUGGUAAGGCGCGGGAUGGUGGUUGAAAAUCCUGUAUGUUGCUUGUGUGGGAAGGUCGAUGAGUCGUCGAGUCACUUGUUCGCCGUUUGUGACUUUGCUUGGAGGGUCUGGUGCCUUUACUUUGAGUGGCUUGGAGUGUCGUUCGUAAUCCAUUCGGAUCCAAUGCAAAAUUUUAUUCAAUUCAGGUUGAGUCAGGCAUCUGUUUCGGUUAAUGAUGUUUGGGGGGCAAUUUGGGUUGGAAUUGUGAGUGAAAUCUGGAAGCAUAGGAACUCGGUCGUCUUUAAUGGAGGAGUGGCAGAUGCGUUAGAAGUUUUUCCCUCAACACAAGUAAAGGUGUGGUCUUGGAUUGCUGCAAAGUCCUGCGAAGUUUAUUUUUCCUAUCCCUGUUGGGUUCUGGAUCCUUUGGCCUGUAUACGGCUGAUUCGGUAAAGCUAGUUAGCGCUUGGUUUGGUUGGUCUUUUGACCGACGGUUUUGGGUGUCGAGUUAGGAGUUAAAUUGUAUGUGUGUUUGUAAAAGGGUUGAACCACCCCUGAAGUGGUUCUCAUUUAUUGAUUUUUUAUUGCUGAUAAAAAAAAAAAAAAACUAAUCCAAACAAAGGAUUAUAGUUGAAUCGAUCUUGAAAAACAAACUUAGAAAUUAAAGGUAUUCGAAAAAGUUAGAUUUUUGUUAUGACCAAUAAGAAAAUAAAAGAUCUCAUUGACCAAAUCAAACCAAUAAAGGAAGCAUUUUCAAAACUUUUCUUACUUACAAAAAAGCUUUUAAAAAUUAUUUUAUUUUAUAUUUUUUUUCUUCUUUUCCAUUCAUUUUUGACAAAACCAAAAAAAAAUUUCCAGAACACCAUCCCAUAAUUUGAUCACCAUAUAAUUUAUUUUGGAUGAGCAUUCGCUAAAUUCAAAAAUUGAAAGUCGAAAUUAUAUUUUUGAGAAACCAAAUUUUGAUGACAUAUGGAAUGACCUUCUUCCACCCUUGGUCAUUAUCGAAAAAAAUAUCUCCAAAAUUCGGAGAAAUUUUCUUUUGAAAAUAAACCAAAAUCUCACCAUGAUCAUAAAUCAGUGCGCUACUUGGAGAAAAAAAGUCCGGUUGAGUCACUGCACACCAAUUCCCACGCUCAAGCUUUUCCACUAAAAUUGUUUGAGAAAUUGAACCACUAAAUCAAAUAGCCAAAUCACGUAAUCACCAAAUUUUCUACUAAUUCACUAAAUUGGUUAAUAACACAAGCAAAUACUGUAUUGGUUUUCAACCAAUUUGAACAAUCAACACACCAUAUUUUUUCACCAAACCUGUACAGUAAAACAACAACACAAACAUAUUUUGUUUCCUGCUCCAAAAUUUGAAUCAUAAAAUGCAGUGAAUCAUCACACAAAAUAAUUUUUUACAAAAACAUUAUCUGCAGCUUAAACCAAUACACAAAUUGCUUCAAAAACUCCACCACAAAAUCAACGCGACUUUUUACAAAUCACUAAUUCAGGAACAUAAUAACUAAACUUCUCUAUUUUUCGAAAAUUUCACAGGAUUGAACAAUUCCUAUUGGAAUUCGCACUCAAAUGGAACUCUAGUGUAGAAUUAACGCACCUCUUACUCAGCUGUCAACGUCACUGGAAUUUCACCGUUUCCAACUUCAAUUUGCUUGAGUAAUUUUUCGUUCGCACAAUACAAAUUGCUUCAAAUUCAGUUUACAAGAUUGGAUCAGAACCACCGAAAGUAAAUCACCAUUCCAAUAAUAUUCUCCGUUCACUGAUUUUAGGUCACCUUAAACUGCUAUUUCCGUUCACCGAUUCCGUUUGUCGGAAUCCGCAAGAGUUCUAUUCACAAAUCGCAAAUAAAGAAUUGCACCGAUGCGCGCCAAUGAAUUCAUUUUUGUUUCUGCCUUUUCAAUAUCGUGCCAAGAACUCCAGCAAAAUUGAUGAACACAAUGGGAAAACGUAAACCGAAAAGUAAUCAACACCAUUGUAGGGCAGUGGUCUCGAACUUGAGAAGAAGAAUGUCACCCAUAAAUUUAUAUGAUGUCAACUUCAAAGCAAUUGACCCAAUGUAGGAUGAUCUUAUGAUUAUCACGUUAGAAGUAGAGAACUUUACACUCAUGAAAAUCCUGGUGUAUCAGGGAAGCUCACUACACAUUUUCUACUGGAAAACCUUUAAAAAGUUGCAAAUCCCAGAUGUUGACAUCCAAAGCUUAUGGUGAUGAGAUAGUGUGAUUAUUGGGAGCGAGUAUAAAUAUGAAAGGUUACAUUGACUUGUUUUCUAAUUUGGGAGAAAGAAGUUUGAAAAGUCAGACUAUCAAGAUCUAAUACUUGAUAAUCGAUACAAAUACCUCAUACAACAUUCUCCUGAGAAGAUUAUCCUUAAAUAACCUAGAAGCUAUAGUGUCAACAUCAAACUUGACAAUGAGGUUCCGUUAUGCAUCCAGAGACAUCAUCACGAUCCAUGUCAACUAAAAAACCGCGAGAGAAUGCUAUGUUAUCAUCUUGAGGAUCACACCCUUAUAUCCUAGUUGAGAUUGCCAAACGACAAAUGAUUGACCUCAAUCCAUAAUAAAUGAUGAUGUAAAGGUCAAGCUUGACAAAGACACAAUCACCAUCUGAUUAAGGCACAAAGGGCAAGAAACAAGGAUAAAGACCAACCUCGUAGAAUCUGAGGCCAAGAUGAUAUAUUGGGUCCCCUUUCAAAAUGUUAACCUAUUCACAUGGACAGUCGAAAACAUGUCAGGGGUAGACCCUAAGGUGAUCUUGCACAAGUUAUUCGUGUAUAAGGAAGCUCACACAAGGUUGCAAAAGAAGACAAAAUUAGGGGAUUAGAAGCGGAAAGUUGCCAAAGAGGAGAUUGAUAAGCUUAUCAAUGUUAGAUUUAUCUAGGAAGCACGAUACACAACAUGGUUAGAAAACAUAAUUAUGGUAAAAAAAGUUAGUGAAAAAUUAAGAAUUUAUACAUACUAUAUGGACAUCAAUAAGACAUAUCCUAAAGAUGUUUGUCCCUUACAAAGUAUGAACUGCAAGAUAAAAGGUCCUCAAUUUUCUAAAUGCCUACUCACAAUAUAACCAAAUAUGAAUACACUCAAAAGAUGGGAAGAAGACGAUUUCUAUGACCAACAACACUAACUGUUUUUCUACAAGUUUGAUUCAACUUUCUAUGAACAAACGACAACAAUUUCUCAAAAAAAACUUAUGCACCCGAAAUGGAUGUUCUUGCAACUCUAACAUCUAAUGCAAAACUAAUAGUAAUGUUGUAACACACAACUAUUGAAACAAAGACUUAUUCCUAAACAUGUUUAUGAUAUUAGUCGCAAAGAUAUCUACAACACUACACUAGUUAAUAAAAAAAAUAAAAUAAAAUAUAUAUAUAUAUAUAUAUUUAUUUAUCUACGAAAGAAAAACUCAAUUUAUCUACGGAAGAAAUCUGUAAGUAACAGUCAAAAUUCGUAGGUAAAUAAGCAUUACCUACGGAAAAAAAAUCUGUAUGUAAUGUGGGCGUAGAUAAUUCAACAUCUUUUAUUAUUAAAAUUUCAAUUAUUAUUUGAUUUUUUAAUUUUUUUUUAAUUAUUAUUUACAUAUAUUAUUUAAUGCCUAUUUUUAUGAUUAUUAUUAACAAUUAUUAUAUAUGUUUUGACAAUUAUUAUUAAAAGUUAUAAGUAAACUAUAACAGGUGAGACUCGAAACCAAGUCCCUUGAAAAAUAACGAAAAAAACUUUAAUUAUUACACCAAACAAGUUUUGUUGUCAUGUUAUCAUUAUUAUUAAUAUUAUAAUAUUAAUAAUAUAUAUACUUAUUAGUUAUGAUUAUUAUUAUUUAUGAAUAUUAGUUAUGAUUUUAUAAUUAUGCAUAUGAUAAUAAUAUUUUUAAUAUUAUAUAUAUAAUUAUUAUGAUAAUAGUUGGUAGGUAAUAGAGAUCCGUGAGUAAUAGUUGGUAGGUAAUAAAUAUUCGUGGGUAAAGUUCGUAGGUAAUAAGAUCUGUGGGUAAUAAUAGUUGGUAGGUAAUGCUAAAUUUACUUACGGAUUCAGAUUUGUAGAUAAUGUUGAAUUUACAUACGAAUUAAAAUCUGUAGAUAAUAUGAUUUUUUUUGUAAUGACACCAAUUGUUAUUUAUUCAAGCUUUAUUAGUGUAGGUUUAAAGAGUUAUUUACAACCGGAUGAAAAGACUUAUUUUGAAUGUGGCGAGGAAUUGGAUUCAAGGAGGGAUCAUAACAAGACAAUCAACAUGUUGGGAGAAAGUUUCAAUUAAAAUGCAAGAAGAAUUACCAAUUUGUCAUGGAUGUAGCCUCGGACAAACAAUAUUUAAUGGUACGGUAUUUUAUAAAUGAAUAAUAUUUAAUGUUCUAUUAAUUUAUUAAUUUAUGUUGAUAAAGUCAAUAAUAUACAUUACCAUAUACUUGAAUAUUUUAAUUAUAUUCAAGUGUUAUUAAUAAACAUAUUAUGAAUUGAAUAGGAAAAAUAUUUCAAUUCAGUAACCAAUUGGAGUGCAUUUAUGCAUACUUUUCGAUUCAUGUUUAGCCUAUAGUGAAUAUGUGAAUUUGAGAGGCUAGUUCAUAGAUUCAACUUUUGUAGAUGUAUGACUAAUUUCUUAACCUAAAAGUUGUUAAUUAUCUAAAUCUUAUUCCACUUUAUGUAUACUUGUAACUAACAAUUUUAUGAGAUUUUUUAUUAACAAUAAAAAAUAUUUAAAUUAAAUAAAUUAUUUAGUGAUGCAAUCCAUAUACAAAACUUCACUUAUAAAAUUGUCUUUGUAAAAUACCUAUUCAAACAAAAUGCAUAUGGCUCUCACAUAAGAACCCAAAAUAAAACUUAGGACAACCCACAACCAUUAUUGGAGCCUUGCCUAUAUGCUACAUAUUCAACAUACCACAGUGGUAAGCAACAGUAGAAAAAAUAAGACUAUAAGGUCUUAGUCCUAAGCAUAAAUGUGGCUCUGUAUAUAGAUUUUACAUAAGAUUUCAAAUAGAUUUACAAGUUUUAAUUUAUUAAAAUAUAUAAAUCAUUUGAAUCAAAUUAAAGUUGACUAAAUCUAUAAUAAUAAUUUACGUCGAUCUAAAUUUUGAAAACUAAAUUCAUGUUUACAAAAUACUUAAUAUUAGAAAAAUAUAAAUCAUGAUGCCUUAAAAGCAUUUUUUUUUGUAUUUAAUCAAUUGUCUAAACCAAUAUUAAUCAAAUAAAUUAUCAACUAUUAAUGAAAUAUUUAGAACAGAUAAAUAAUAAUUUUGUAAACAUAUUUAAUUAAAUCAAAUCAAUAUAACAUGUUUAAAAUAUAAAUUGUUUGAAUGUACAUGACAAUGUUUGUAAUUAUUAUAUAUAUUUUUUACAAAUACACAGAAAUGUGACGACUCAUAUUGAUUUUUUUAAAACUAAAAAUUAAUAACAAAUAUAUUAAGAAUUACAAUAUAAAAAAUUUAAGUUAAAUCCAUUUACUACAAGACGAUAUUGUUAUGGCACUAAAGGAUAUAAAGGACUUUGCAUGGAUACCUAGAUGGAAACCACCAAUUGGGAAAAUGAAAAUAAACGUAGAUGGAAGCUAUGAUUUAUCACUCAGUACAUAUUGUCACAGGGAAGUCUAGAUAUAGGGAUCAAAAUUCUAUGUAGGUCUUUGGCUUUUCUUCUUGUAAUACAUCCAAAGCGGAAAUUUUGGUCAUUUUGCAUGUAAUUCAUAUGUAACAACUAUUUUAGAAUAUAAUAACAUGUCCUUGUAUUACAUAGUUCACUACAAAAUACAAAAUAAAUAAUAUAAACAAGUAAAAUAUCAUGGACAACCAAAUGUUUAGAAUAAGAAGAUGGAUACAAAUAAGCAAUGUUAUGUAUUGGAGAGUAGUAUAUACUUUACCAGUAAAUAAUUUCAACAUUGAAUAUAUCUAGCUAGAGUUGAUUGUUUGAUCCUGUGUCACUGUUUCAUCUGGAAAUAGAAUAGGUUUUGGAGGUAUUUCCAAGUCUUCAAUAUCUCCUUCAAGCAUUUCCACUACUCUAUUCAUUGAGGGUCGAUCAUUUGGUUUUAGUUGUAUACACCAUAGUGCAACUAUGAUCAUCUUCUUUGCUAUUUUAUUUUCUUCUUCUGUCACAUCUUCAAUAUCUGCAUCUUUCUCUUCCCUAAUAUGAUCAUAGAUCCAAAGGGGAAAGUAAAGUUGACUUGAGUGAUCUGCAUGAGGAUUUAGAUUCUUUCUCUUACUUGUCAUCUCCAUCAACAACAUUCCGAAGCUAUAAACAUCAGCCUUAUGGGAUAUUCCUCCAAUAUUUUUAUAAAACAAUUCAGGAGCCAUAUAUCCAAUGGUUCCUCUUGCUACAGUCAUUGUGACAAUGCUAUUAUCUAUUGGAUAUAACUUUGCCAAUCCAAAGUCAGAAACCUUAGGGAUGAAGUUUUCAUCUAGUAAGAUGUUAUGAGGUUUAAUGUCAAAAUGCAAAAUCUGCAUCUCACACCCAUGGUGGAGAUAAGCAAUCCCACGAGCCACUCCGAUUGAUAUAUUAUAUAUCUUUUCAUAGCUUAAAUGUAUAUUUCUCUCUUUUGAGAAAAUAAAUUUAUCAAGAGAUCCAUUGGGCAUGAAUUCAUAAACAAGAGCACGUUUUGAGCCACUAACACAAAAUCCAAUUAAUUGUACCACAUUUUGAUGAUGUAUUCUUCCAAUGGUUGCAACUUCACUGAUAAAAUCUUGUCCAUUUCCUUUGGAUUCGUUCAAUAUUUUGAUGGCCACAGAAGGUCCACUGCGCAACUUUGCCUUAAAAACAGAGCCAAAUCCUCCUUCACCUAACUUCUCUUUGAAACCUGCAACCAUCUUCUUGAUUUCCUUGAAUGAAUAUCUAAUAGGUGCAAAGCUAUUUUGUUCAAGGUAAUUUUCAAUAUUUUCAUACAUUGACAUAUGUCUUUUUCUCCAUUUACAUAUAAAAAUAACAAUUAAGAAUGGCAAUCCAAACAAAACUUUGUAAGCCCAUACCAUAAGAAUAAUUUGUUGGAGAUAUCCUGCAAGAAAUUUUUACUUGGGUGAUUACACAUGGUAUUGUAAAAUGAAAUAAAUUAUUUGUUAAAGUAUUUUUUGUUCACAAAAUCCAAACUUUACACAUCUAUAGUAACAUUACACAAAAGAGUAAAUUUAAUGUCUAUCACAAACAACUAUCAAUAAAUUUCAUUUUCGACAUUGGUAUCUAUAAAAUUGUAUGUAACAUUAAUAUUUCCUAAGACCUAAUUCAUAUGGUUGUAAAAUAAUACAAAUAUUUUUUUAAAAAAAAUUUCUUUAGUUUCUAUAAACUUUUUAAAUUCAAUUUGUGUUCCUCUAACAUAUUUAACAUAUUAAAAAUUAUAAUUAUUUAUCUUUAAGGUAAUUAACAUUUAAUAUCGAUCAUAAACCUUUAUUUAUAUCACUUUGAGGAUUAAAAUUUUAAAUUUUUAAAUUAGAUGAAGAAAAUAUGAGAAACUUUUGGACAAAUUAAAAUUGAAUUUUUAAAAUGUGGAGAAUGUAACUAAAACAUAGGUAAAUUAAGAUGAUAAAAUAUCAAUUAGAAUCAUGUUCAUCUCACUAACCAGACAAAAAAGACUUUGCAUUUGAACCUUUUAUAAAGGUUGUGUUCGAUUAGUAUAAAUCACAAUGUAAUAUACUUACAUAUUAUAAUGUGGUCUUAAGUUGAUGUUUGUAAUACACAUCCCUCGUGCCGAGGACACCGUGUGUUCAUAUCAAAGACAUUGAGCAUGAGAAUCGAGGGAAGCGUAAUAACGGAUAACACGAUAGGCUCAAAUCUCGACUAGAAUAAACUCUUAGUGACUUUGAUGUCAUAUAAGGAUAAUGAGUUUAAGUUUAACUCCACCUCACAAAGUUGGUUUAAUAAGGUGAGGUUUACCACCACUUAUAUACGAUAAUUUGGUCUUAUCUUUAUUCGAUGUGAGAUCUUCAACAAUGUGGUUAAAAUUUAUUAUCAAAUGUCCAAAACAAUGCUUAAAACAUAAUCAUCGUUGAAAAUAGCAAAUGAUGAUGGUUACAACGUAUAAUUAUCAUCACGUGUCUUUUAAUAUAUAGAAAUCAUGCCAACACAAAUAGUGUCAUUUUGUAACUUUUAAUGUUUUCUUCUUCUCCAUUGUAUUGCUCCCACCAUCGCCACUCCUUUGCAUUUGACCUAGUAAGAAAAUUUUAUUUUUAUGUCUUUUACAAUUAGAUAUUUGCUUUCGCUAAGUUUUUCUCAUGUACGAAUGAUGGAGAAAGAGGAUGUCUAGAGCUAGGGAACAAAAAGGAAAGCAAGACCUCUUCUUCACACAUUUUUUUUAAACUCUAACGAGUAUGAUAUGUGGAAAAUCUUCCAAAGUUGGGGAAGAGUUACUGGAAUGUUCAUAACUAGGAAACUAAAUGGGAGAGGACAAAGAUAUUACUUGGUGAGAUUUGUAGAGGUUGUCAAUGAAGUAGAAAUAUAAAAAAAGUAGACGCAAUUUGGAUAACAAGCAUGAAAAAUCACGUUGGUUGACCAAAAUACAAUAGGUUUGAAAAAAACAACAACCAGAACAAGAAUGAAGGGAUAAACAUAGAGCAAAGAAUCGAAAGAACAAAAAAAUGGGUGAAAAGGAAAAAUACUUUACUUAUGCACAAGCGGUAAAACGUGACACUAAGAAGGAAGGUAGAAAAGAUGCAAUGGAAGGAAUAUCGUUACAAGUGUAAUAGAAGGAGAAAAUGUGGAUAAAGAGAAGUUUUGAAGUUAGACUACAUGAUGCAAGUAAGAUGAAUAUGUUAAAUGAAAACUUUAUCCUAGGUGAGCUAGGAUUCAUCAUAAUAAGAUAUUUAAGGGAUAAUCAAGUGAAUCUCUCACCUGAUAAUGAAAUGAAUAUAUAUAAACAAUUGAGGAACACAAUGAAUGAUUUUCAAGCACGUUUGAGUCUUCUUGGUCAUCUCAAGAAACAUCGAGAAAUAAGAUCAUAUAGGUGCGGUGUAGAGGCAUACCAUUAUCCUUAUGGGGCAUCAAAUGCUUCAAAAGGAUUGUGGUUAUCAUUGGAAUGCUCAUCACAAUAAAAGAAUGUUGUUGAGUCUUGAGAAGUGUUAAAGUAUGUGAGAUUGUAGGUAUGUUUAGCAAUUAGGAGUUUCACUAUGAUGUAUUGGAAAAUCAAAGUCAACGGUUCAAUUAUCAAGUGUCGUGGGAAGAUGAUCUCACUACAACAACAACCAAGAAGGAACACAAAUUAAAAUAUUGGGGGAACAAACCAUCGUUAGCAACAAUAGAUGGGAUUAAAACAGAUUCAUUUGAGUCAAAAUGUUGGGAAAUUAAUUAUCUUGAUAUAGGAUAUACACAGGGUAAUGGGGAACAAACCACAAUGGAUGUAUCAAACAUUAAAAGGCCGACCACCAAAGAGAGCGACGCGAAGAUGAAAGGGCCGUUGGUGGGUAAUUACCAAGGGGAGAUCAAAUUUUAUAUCGUCCUUACUUUCCUUUUUUUGUGUUGCAUGUGACAUUUUGACUUCCCUGACUUCUACAUACCAUUUCUCUCAUUAUGAUUAAUAUUAUCAAGUACUUCCUCCUAUGAGUUCACCAUUUUUUCCUUCAUGGAUUUAUUCUCCUGCUUUAUUUCGAAACUUACUUGCCCAAUAAGGUUCUCAAGAAAUAAUUUUUGUUAGAUUUCCUUUCCCAAAUGCCACACUUGUACAUUGAAACCCCUAAUGAUGAAAUUUCUUCUUCCACUUAUACUUGAUAAACAAUAUCAUUGAUUUUCGUCUAUUUAUUAAUUUUUUCCUCAGCGUGGGUUUAUCUAUAGUUAUCAAGGUGUCAAUGGUUGUCAUUACCUUUUUUUAAAUAUUCUUGUCUCUACAAAGAUAAUAGUAUGUGUUGAACAUGGACUUUGAUGUCUCCAAAUCCAUGAAGAUUGGUUGAAGGCUUUGCUGCUGCUUGUGUGUGUGGGUUUUGGGUAGUUUGAAUUUGUAAUCCACUCAUAGAAUUGAUCAAAAGUUGUUUGAUUUUAAUGCAUUUGAAAAAGAUGUGUUUUCAAAGAGAAGUGGAAAAAUAACUAGUUGUUUUAUCGUUUUAAUCGGUUGUUUUACACUUAGAGUUUUUUGAAAGGAUUUGAAACUGUUUGACUUUACUGUCAAACCAAUUCAACCGGUUGUUUCGAAAAUUCAACCGAUUGAUCUUUGAAAAUCCUUAACAAAAUUAUGUUAAGUUGAUUUAAUCUGAUUUAAAUGAUUUUAACUGAUUUUGGAUCUUUCAUUAAUUGCUUUUAACAACUAUUUGGAGUAUAAAUAAGUGGUUAUACACUCCUGGUUGUUAAGAUUUCAAAUUAACAGUUUCAAAUCAGUUUUCCAAGAUUGCUUCAAGCUUUGGAUACUUUCUAAGAGUGGAAUAGGAUUGUUCUGUAAUUAAGAUUGUUUUGAUCUUUGAUCAUUAUCAGGUGUAUUCCAUUCUCUUUCAUUUGACUUGUAUUUCUGUAAAGUACUGUGUUGCAUAGAGUUAGAGGGUGUUCUGAUCUGUGGUGUGUUGUAAUUGUCAAAGGAAGUGUGUGUUCUUGAGGGGUUCAAGAUCACUUCUUUGGUGUGUGUGGUUUGUAAUAUGUGGUUGAUUACAUAUGGAAUACUCAGUGGUUUCUGGGGACUGGAUGUAGCUCUUAGCUUUUAGUUUUAAGUAUUUUUAUAAAUUGCUAAUAAAACCAACUGGUUGAAUCGCAUAAACAACCGGUUGAUUUUCUGGAAAUCAACUAAAACAGUUUUGUAACUUGUGCAUUUUCCUUCAUUUGACUUUGAUUCUUCAUUGGCUUUGUCCAUACCUUCAAAGUCUGCGGAAAAACAUUUAAAAACAUUUCACCCCCUCCAGUUUUAGGCCUAAAAUUCUCACAGUAGCCCUUAGGCCUAACCAAAACAACCUUGUUUUCUAAGAUAACUUGGUUUAAUUAUGGAAUCACUAAUUCAAAUGACAUUUAUAGUCAUUUGCUAUCUUCCUCUAUCGCCUUACUUACUUUGCUAUCCCAUAAAUUAUGCACUCUGAUGAAUUUCAAGCCAUCUAGAAAGAAAUUUUCUUUUAGCAUAUCCACCUUAUUGUUGUCAAGCAACCUUAUGAUAAAAGCUUUUCUUCAACCAUUAUUGCUCUUACUCAUUCACCAAAAAUUGUUUCGCUUCCAUCUACCUGUAUUAGUGUUCAUAUUGUUUUACAAUCUCACUUAUGCUCGUGACUAAUACUGAACUUUCCCCUUUACAUCAAAGUCCCCAUUAUUUUGCUUUUUGAAUUAGUUCCUUCGAGCUUACUUCACUUGAACACCAUUUCUUUGUUCCUUCAAUAUUUUGCUACCAAAUUUAGAAACUAAAUAAUUGGUAGUUAAAACAUUGAUAGCUAAUUAGAUACCAAAUUAGAAACCAUUUAACAAUAAUAGAAACUAAUUUAGAAACCAUUUUUUUUAGUUUUUAAAAUGGUCUCUAAUUUAGUUACUAUAGCAACUAAUUAUUUUUUAUUUCUAAAAUUAGUUUCUAUUUCAUGUUUUUCUUGUAGUGCAAGUGUCUUGAUAAUUUGAUUAUUUUUUUAUCUUAGAGUGUGUUUAAUAAUUUAUAUCACUAUAAGAAAAUCAUUAAAUAAAAAUUAAUUUUAGAAACUAAAAAUAAUUAGUUGUUAUAGUGACUAAAUUAGAGAUCAUUUUAUAAACUAAAAAAAAAUUGGUUUCUAAAUUAGUUUAUAUUAUUGUAAAAUGGUUUCUAAAUUGGUAUCUAACUAGCAAUUAAGAUUUUUGCUACCAAAUUUAGAAUCUAAAUAAUUGAUAGUUAAAACCUUGGUAGCUAAUUAGAUACUAAUUUAGAAACUAUUUAAUAAUAAUAGAAACUAAUUUAGAAACCAAAAAAGUUUGUAGUCUCUAAAAUGAUUUCUAAUUUAGUCAUUAUAACAACUAAUUAUUUUUUGUCUUUAAAAAUGGUUUCUAUUUCAUGAUUUUUUUAUAAUGUAUAUUCAUUAACAAUAUUUUGGACUUUAAUUAUGCAAUUAGAUAAAUUAUAUAUUGAUUCAAAAUGAUGUCAAACUAUUUCUUAUAAUUAUGUUUGUGAUGUAAUAUGAAGUAAGAUAAUUUGUAAAUAAUUGUGUUUAUGAAGGAUUUGUUUGGAAUUAGAUUGAAUGCAGGUUAAAGUUAUUAUCAAAACUGGGGAUGACAACGAGGAAAGGUGAGUGCAAGUUUGACUAUACACAUCCACAUUAACGAAGUAAAAAGUUAUUCUCAUCCUUGUCUUAUCCCAUUAGGUAUAAUUUUUUUUGUCUCAUUCUCAUCCUCAUUAGGUAAUGGGUGUAUCCAUAUUCACGCUCAUACUCGUUCUCACACUCUCCCGAAUAUUAAAUAAACAAUGUUCUUACAAAAAAAGAAAAAAAUCACAAUAAAGAAAAUAUGUUAUCAAAUAACAAUUACACGUAAUAAAAAUUUCAUAACAAUUUCAAUAUAUUGUUUUGAAAAUAUUGAGGAGAAAAUACCUUAGAGAUUUGAGUGAACUUGGUAAAUAUUAAGCAUGAUGAAUUGUUGAAAGAGAGAAUGAAAUUUUGUGUAACAAAAAAAAUAGUUCUUGAAAUGAAACAAAAUUAAGAAACAAGAAAAAAAAAAAAAUUUUAGGUUACCUAAUAAACUAAGAGUUUACAAAAUUUAAUUCGAUAAAAUUGAGGUUUACGUUUCCUAAAAUGUAAUUUAUCAUUUGAAGAAACUCACAUAAAGAAAAAAAAAUGUAUAAUUGAGAAUAUAAUUAAAGAGAAAAUACCUUGAGGAUUUGAGUGAACUUGAUAGAUAUUAAAUAGUUAAACGAUUGGGAGAGUAUGUAAAAUAAGAGUUUUUCAAAUGGAAUGAAACAAAAAGCACGGAUGAGAAUAACAAAAAUAAGUUUUCUAAAUUAUCUAAUAAAUUAAAAAUAUUUUAAUAAUUUAAAAUAAAGAUAAAUAUAAGAACAAGUACGAUGCAAAUAUAGACAUACUCAUUCUCGUCUCCAUACCCAAUUUAAAAUAUUAAGUAUUACUCAUCAUGCUCAAAGUUUAUUUAUAACCCAUUUUUAAAACAAAACAAAUAUUAUAAAAGUUAUACAUACAACAAAUUUUUUUACUAUAAUGAUCAUAUAUUACUUUCACCAAUUAUUCAUAUCAUAACCAAUCAUUGAAAGGGUUGAAAAUUUUGAAAAUAAAAUAAAAUUAAAAAAUAGAAGGUUUAAUUAUAAAUUAUUGUCGAAAGUGGUUGGACAACAAAGAUAAGGAUAAUGAAUUAGACCAAGAUAGUAGGAAGAUGAUGAAUGAGCUAUUUUGCAUAAUUACAUAAGUUAUUUUAUAAACAAGAAACCCUGGAGACUGAAUUGGUUAGAGAAAGGGGAUUUGAAUACAAAAUUCUUUACAAAAUAUGUUUAAAGGAUUGGUAAUUGGCACUUAAUGAUGUGAACAACCUGUUAUGAUUAAAAAGAAAUGAAGGAUGGAUUUAAGUUGCGAUUUUCUUAGCAUUAGGUUGGAUAACAUUGAUUUCCCUACCAUUAAUUCAGAGAAUAAUCUAUUUUUGACUGCUAUAAUCACAGGAAAUGAAAUAAAGGAAGUUGUUUGGGGAUGUGAUGGAAAAAAAUGCCUUAAGACGGAUGGCUAUAAUUUCAAUUUUCUUAAAAGAAAUUGGAGGGUUGUUAGUUAGGAUAUAUUCAACGCUAUUAAUAGAUUCUAUACCUUAGGAAAAUGACCUAAAGUACAAAUGUUUUUUAUCUGCCUAAUUCCUAAGAUUGACAACUCUCCAAAGUUGCAAGAUUAUAGAGCUAUCUCACUUAUAGGUUGUAUUUAUAAGAUAGUUUCUAAAAUUUUAGCAAAGAGGCCAUAAAAAGUUCUGUGUAAAGUGAUUGAUAUUAAACAAUCUUUUUUUUUUAAGGCAAUAAUGUCUUUUAGAUAGUAUGUAAUAGCCAAUGAAAUCAUACAUGAAGUAAAAAAAAAAGAAAAAAAAAGAUUCUUUCAUAGUUAAAGUGAACUUUGAGAAAACGUACAACUUAGUUGGAAUUUCCUAUUUUAUAUGAUGAAAAAGUUAGGCUUUAGCUACAAAUGGAUUAGGACUUGUUUAGAAUAAUCUACCGUCUCAAUGCUAGUAAAUGAUAGUCCUACGAUGAAUUUAAACUCGAAAAGGAGUUGAGACAAGGUGAUCCUUUAACCCAAUUUUUAUUCCUCACAAGUAGGAGGAGGAUUACCAGGAACUAUAAAACAAAUAGAGUGUAAGGGUAUGUUUGAUGAUAUCAAGAUAGACAAGGAUGAUAUUAACAUUAGUAUAAUAUAAUUUCCAAAUGACUACUUGUUUAUUUGCCAGGCCUUAACUAAGAAUAUUUUGGUAAUUAAAAGUAUUCUCAUAUGCUUUUGAAAUAGUCUCAUGUAUAAAAUUAAGUUAGGAGGCUUGAGAGUAAAAAUAUCUACCAUUCAUAGAUACUUUGAGUUGCUUAACUAUUGUAUUAUGGGAAUCCAUUUAAAUAUUUAUGCAUUCCCAUGUGGGGAAAUCAUAGAAAGAAGAAUUUUGGUUAGAUAUGAUAGCAAAAAUAAGAAAGAGGUUAACUAAAUGGAAAGGAAAACAUAUUUCCUUUUGCAAGUAGAAUUACCUUAAUAAUCAAGUUAGUGUUAUCAAUUGUGCCUUUAUAUUAUUUAUCUCUGUUUAAAAUGUCAAUACUUGUAUGAAAGCUGAUUGUUAAGGUUCAAAGAGAGUUUUGUGGGAUUGGGAUCAAGAAGGAAGAAGGAUUGCGUGGGUAAAUUGGGAAGAUAUUUGCAAAUCUAAAUUAGUAGGUGGUUUGGAGAUAAAAGAUUUAAGAUGUUUUAACCAGCGUCUGCUAGGUAAAUGAAAUGAGAUUAGGAAAUGAUAAGGAUGACUUAUGGGUGAAAAUUCUAAAAUAAAAAAUACCUUUCAUGGAGAUCUUUAAUUGAAAAUAAAAAGAAUAAAUGUGAGUACUUGUGGUGGAGAGAUAUUAGAAAAUUAAGUGGGUUUGAAAGGGGAAAAAAUGGUUUAGGGAGCAUAUUUUGUGGAAGGUUGGGUAGGGUAAUAUGAUCUUAUUUUUGAAUGAUACUUGGAUAGGGGAUAAGCCUUUAAGGGAGAAAUAUCCAAGAAUAUAUAGUAUUUUAAAACAAGAAAGAAAACUUAAAAUAAAGGAGUUUGGAUAACAUACCAUUGGACUUGGAAACUUAUAGGUAGAGGAGGGAUUGGUUUGAGUGAGAAAAACUAAUGGUCGACAAAUUGGUACAUAUUAUUCAGGAGAUUACAAUACAUAAAAAGAUCAACUAGAUGAGUGGGAGUGGAAGGGAGAUAGAACUUGUUGGAAUUCUAUGCAAUCUGCCUAUACAUAGUUUUCCCUUAUAAGAGAAUGAUGUAAAUUUUAAUUAUUUGUGGAAAGUUAAGGCAUUACUCAAACCUUAUUUUUUGUUUAAAGGGUAUUCUUGAAUAAAAUUUCUACAAUAGAUAACUUGCUCAAAAGAGGUAUCCAACUAGAAAGAACUUUGUGUGUUAUCUGUAAUCGUUUAGAAGAAACCAAAAUCCUGUUUACAUGUAGAAUUACAAAUCAAAUUUGGAACAUGUGUGAUGUGUGGUUAGGGAGAAUUAUGAUACAUCAUUGUAAUGCUAAACAACACUUAUAGAAAGGGUAAAUAGGAAGGGUAAUACAUCAUGUGGGUUUAAAUAGGAAGGGUAACCAAAUUUGGAAAGUUGUGUGGGUAGAUGCAAUGUGUAAUUGUGGAUACAUAGAAAUAAUGUUAUAUUUAAAAAUCUUAAACCAAAUGACGUAAAAAUCUAUUCUAUGGUAUAUGUUAAAUCGUGGGCAUGGAUAACGAAGAAGUACACUAAGAUCAUAAAAUCUUAACGUUAAACACCUGUGUUUUUUAUUAGGCUACAUAGCCUAGAUCCUUCAAUGUAGUUCUAUGUAGGAAAAGUGUAACUUUUGUGCAUCCUUGGUUAUGUGUGUAUCUGGGCUCUAGGCAACAAAAGCUUAAAUCAGUGCUCUAUGGAUUACAAACAUAAUGGAACCUAGAACAUAAUCCUGGACAAUUGUUGAGCAAAUUAUUAUACUCUGUAAUAAAUUAUGUAGCCUUUAGUUCAAAUUUGCAUGUCCAUUAUUUCAACUCAUAGAUUGAAACAAGGAAUAACGAGUAGUGCGAAUUUUACAUCUGUUUUUGUGUGCAGAGGGGCUACAAACUGGUUUAGAUCACUGUCUGGUGUAAGGGUGCUUCAUAUGUGUAUUAAUUGUAGCUAGGAUUACAACUACUUUCUGUUGAGGUGUUGAAAGGUCUACCAGCCUAGUAAUUAUUUUUUGACAUAAGGGUUUGGACUCUGUAAAGUCUCCUCAUUUUAUAUAUUUUUUAUUAUUGAUAAAAAAAGUGGUUGAAAUUUUUUAAAAACAAAAUAAAAUUAAGAAAAAAAUACACUGACUGUACGUGGGCAAAUCUUUUUUUUUAACAACAUUUAUAUUAAUGAAAAUUUCAGAAGUCCUAUUAAAAUUCUAUUUUAAUAAUUGUUAAAAGCUAUACUCCAGUUGUGUAAUUAAAGCAUUGAGAAAUUAAGAUGAUAAAAUCUUACCUGGUUCUAUUAUUGUCUCUAGCAAUUCCAGUAUUGUAUGAAAACCCUCUGAAAUGAAGUAAAAUGUGACUUUAUAAUAGUCUCAACAGUUAUUCAAAAAAGAAUAUUUUCAGAUUUUGAUAAAGGUUAUAGCGGUCAAUAAGUUUAACAGUUAUUUAUUUUAAAAAUAAUAAAUAUUUAAUUUAAUGCUUAUGUUCUUAUAAAUACAUGUAAAACAUAAAAAAUAAAAAAAAUACCAUUUUUUGUUCUAAAAGUUCGUUGAAUUAUUAGAAUGAUAUUUUGAAGAUAAUAAUAUAUGUAAAAUGAAACAUAAAAUAUAGAUGACUGAAAGUUUGUUUUGAAAAAUUCUGAAAAAGUGGUUAACAGAUUAUCAUUUGAAAAUAUAUAAUUAUGUAAAAUAUGUCUUAAUAUUUGGUUUAGGAUCACUCACCGCAUUUAAGCUUCUGGUUAGAAGAGGCGAAAUAGCAGAAUCGAUGUGGACAAAGGUUCUGACAGGCGAGUUCUAUCCAUGAAAUCUCGAAUCCAUAGUUGAGUGCGGUGUGCAUGGAAGAGUAGGAAUGGUUAUCGAAAGUGGAGAGAGAAGUGGGAGCAACAAGCUUUACCUCACACCCAACUUCUAAGUCCUCUGCUUUUAGGUCUCCACCAAUUGCAUAUGCAUACCCCUUCCCCUCCCACUUCACCCACUCUCCACUCUCCACAUACUUCCCUUUCUCUCCCACCGAAUGGUUACAAUUCACAAACACUAUAUGCGAGAAACUCAAUUCCCAAUUUUCAUAGGAUCUUAGACCGGCUUGGUAUGGAUCCGAGUCGUAAAAGGAAGUGUAAGUGUAAGUGUCAGAGAAAUUGGAACGAGAGAGGAAACGGAGAGGAAGGGAGGAGAGAUUAUGGUGUUGAAGAGCAGGAUCAACCACUCUCACUGUGUAGUUAUUGUAGUUUAUUGACUGCACAUGAUAUUUUGCAGAGUACAGAUACAACACCGUAACGUUAUUCUCACAACCAAGUUCAUACCUUUCCUCACCACACUUUUCUGGGUCGCCUUUUAAUCGAAAUGGAUAACUAAUGUUGCUGAUUUUUCCACAGGAAGAAAGGGGACAAAAGAGUUGUUGCUCGUCCUUGGUAGCAGAAAUAUGGUGGAGUAGAAGUAGCAGUACCACCAACACUGCUCUCUCUCUCCACAUCAUGUCCAAACUGUUUCUCAUUGAAUUCAAGUGCAAAGAAAUCGAAGUUAGAUAUUUAUAUUUAAAACAUCACACACUGAAUAUAUAGCUAUAAAGGACCACAUUUUUCCUUUUACAAAAUUGUUCGAAGACGUAUAUAUGAUACUUAAAACGUAGACUUUGACUCAGAAACCGCGUUUCUAUCUUGUUUCCGCAACUCAUUUUAAUCCAUACAAAAUUUUAAAUAUUCGUGAAGUGCAUGAAUUUUGAUUUCGGUACUUAAUCAUGUAAUUUUGUUGAUGGUGUUCUUUGAGUUUCUAAAACCAUCCUAAAUUGUUCGUUUUAAAAGCUUAUAUUUUGAAAAUUAAUUUUAAUGACCUUAGAAUUUCUGUGAGUCCCAAAAUAAUGUUUGUUUGGUUAAGAAACUUCAACAUGUGAUUAUUGUUUUGGUGAAUUUUUCCUCGAAAAUGGCCUCAUAUGUUUCUUUGUGUUAAUUUCUUGAACAUAUUCUUCUUGGACAUGGGAGCAAGAAAGAGUGUGUGGUGGCAGAACGUAGCACUAACAAUUUUAUGUAUGUGUAAAAGGUAACGGACAGAGAAAAACAUAUGGAAGCAAUUCCAAACACGUAACCCAAAAUUCCAGCAUACUUUUCAACUUGUGGCCUUGAAAAACUCAAUAAUUAAAAGUGCGUUUCGAAGAAUUUGACGUAGAUCUCCAAAAUUAUAAUGUGCCCAAAAAUGUGUAUGGUAAGACCUUGUGGACUUUGACCUUGAUAAAGUUUAUAAAAGUGAACAACUCAGAUAACUCUUUAUAGAAUUAAACUCUUGAGUUACAUAGGAUGAGCCGUGAGAUCCUCACUCGGCUAAUUAGUAAUUGAAAGAAUAAAAAAUCAUUAAGCAAUUUUUUUUGGUAGAAAAGCUAGCAGGAAAUUUCUAAACCAUGUUUUCUGCAUGCAGGUAUCAAAACCCUCAAGUGCAUGUAGUUUAUUCCAUGAAACAUUAAAUUUUAGUCUUAUGCUUGUUUCACACUAUUAUGUCCACAGCAACAAAUUAACCAAAACCCUAUUUAUAGCCAUUCAUGUUCUUUGUACGCCAAUUGCCACAACAAGAAGUUACUCACCACUAACUAGUUGGUAUUAGUAGAUUACAUUCUGAAAACUCACCACAAUUACUUGAUCACUAUCACUAAAAUAAAAAUAAAAAUAUGAAUGUGGUGACGAUUAUUUUUAUAUAAAGUGAUAUUUAUAAAUGUCACAAUAUAUAUACGUGUAACAUUUUCGCUUACGGUUAUAGAUUUAACCGCCACAAAGUUUAAUAUUCGCUUACGGUUAUAGAUUUAACCGCCACAAAGUUUAAUAUGACGAUUUUAUACAAAUCGUUUUAACACUAACCAUUUAAUGUUUACACUAACCAUUUAAUGUUUUAUAUAAAGUGACGUUUUAUGUGUAUAAUUAAAAUUGUCGUAAUUUAUUUGAUCGAAAAACAAUUUCGGUGUAAAAACAACACAUAAACAUCGCUAUAUACUGUACAAUAUUUUGUUUUUAUCUAUCAUUAUUAUAAGAACAAUCUGAAAAGCAAUACGUAAGUUUCAAGAUAGUAAAUUGAAUACUAAAUAAAUAAAAUUCAGUCACCAGUUUAUAAUCUCAUUAUUUAAUAAAUUUGUUUUCAUAAUUAAACAAUUAAACAAAUUUAUAAUACCAUUUAAUUAAAUCUAUUUUCGUAAUAAAAAAAAUUAAAUACUACUCAAAGUUAUAAUAAACAUUCAUUGCAUUGAAAACAGAACACAAAGUUAAUAGUUGUUCAAAAGUACACCAAGAUAAAUACACAAAAUAUUUUUAAAUAUGAUAACAUUUUAUUAGACUAUUACAAUCAUCUCAGUUUUGCUUCCACCACUUGAUCCUAUUAUUUUGUUGAGUGAUAAAACACCAUUUCCAACCUAAGGUGCCAACAUCUAAUGCUUAAAAUAGAUAAAAAUUAAUUUCAGAUUAUUCAUUUUCAAUUUUUAUAAUUAUAAGAAGACAUUAAUAAUAAAUAUUUAAGUAUAUUAAGUUAUACCUCAUUCCAAUAAUAGACAUGAUUUUAGGUUAUUUGAAAAACUAGAGAGUUAUAAAAAUAAAGAAAUGUAUUUUUCUAUUCAAGAAUAACAACUAAAUAUACAAUCAUUGUAAUUUUGAAUUUCUUUAAAGUUUUUAUUAAAUAAAAUUACAAUUGCAAUUACAACUACAACUAAUUUAUUUUAUUGUUAUCCUUAAUGGGAUGUUUUUUCUUACUCUUGAAAGAAAUAAAAUAAUGUAUAUAUUUGUAGUAGGCAAAGCUGUAGUAGGCAAAUAUAGGUUUCAAUAUUUUUCCAUCUUCUAGCCUGAAACAAUCUCAAAUUAUAGAAAAGCUUAGCAUUUAGUUUGCUAAAUGUAGACAACACUAAUAAUUAGCAAGAUAUUGAUUCUAAUUAUCUAGUGGUCUGUUGGAGAGAGUUCAUAAAAUUUAGUUAAAGCGAGAUUGUAGAUAAUCUGCUGAAAAGAGUUAUUUAUGUAUUUUUCAUUAAUUUCUCAUAGAAAUUAAUAGUAAACGCUCUCUCAACUGAGAUUUCAGGUUAUAUAAUGAUGCUUAACAUAAAAGUUUUGUAGGGAUAUUGUGUGCGGAAGCGUGAUAAUUUCAACACAAAGAUUAUGAGAAAUUAAAGAAACAAGUAAAGUGAGAAUGAUAUCAAAAUUUUUAGGUGGAAAACCCCUUUAAAUAGAGGUAAAAAACCACCGGCGAGAGAGCCAAAACAAUGGUACUGGGAGUACAAUGAAUUCCUCUCAAGCUAAUGAUAAAUAGCCCCAAAACAAAAUUCUCUCUCUAUAUGGGUUAAACACUUACACCCAAUAGCAGAAAUAGAGAGUAUAAGAAAAGAGAGAGGAAGCAAGUGUGUUUGCUGUUUGCUGUGUGUUACAUUGCUUGAAGGAAACCACUAUAUACAGUGGUUCUAGGAGACAACAAUAAUAAAUACAAUUAAUGGUAAUUAACCUCCCAUUGAUGACAAUUGAUUGUGGCAAUUAACUUCCUAUUGAUUGCAAUUGAUUGUGGCAAUUAACCUCCCAUUGAUUGCAAUUGAUUGUGCUAAGUAACCUCCCAAUUAUGACAAGAAAACGGAAAGGUGAGUCAUAAACCCACAAGUUUUUAUAAAAAAAAGUAAAAAAUGAUAUUUGGUUCAUACAUAUACAUUUGAUCCAUUUAGAUAGUAACGUUCUAAUGAAAAAGUAAAUUUAAUAUACUUAAACAAAUAUCAAUAUAUUUGAUUGUUGGAGUUGCUAAAUAUAAUGUGUUUCUUUUUUCUAUGCCAGAAGAAAAUUUUGUCUUUAAUUAACGUUGGUAUACAUAUCUUAGACCAAAUUGACAAAUGGUUACGGAAAUUGAAAAAUAAUUUUUUAGUAAAAUAUGUUUUUCGUCAUUCUAAAUUUUUUUUAAACAGUUUUUCUUUCAUUUAUUUUGACUUAUUUUCAUACAUCUGUUUGGAAUUUGAGUUUUGGUUCUGGAGGUAACAUUAAUAGCGUUUAUUAAGCACUAUUCAAACUACUCUAAAUAUAAAAGUGGUAUAUUUUAAAAAUAAUGAAUAAAUAUUGGAAAAAUAUUUAGAGCGAUAAAAGUAUAAUUUUUGAGAAAUAUAAAUAAAAAGUAUUUUUUUUCUGUGUUUGUUUAUUGUAACGCAGGGAUCAGAAUAAACAAAUUAAGCCAAUUUUAUGUAUGUCCACUUCUUUUACCGCAAACUAAAGCAUAUAAAAAUUCUUGUCCAGAUGAUAUUAAAAUUAAAAAAAAAAAUCUGUGUAAAAUAAGUAGUUGUAAAGUGUGUGAACAUUUUAUAUAUAUAUAUAUAUAUAUUAUAAUCAAAGCAUACGUAAAUUAUAAGGUGAUAACAAUUGUAAAUAUAAUUUUAAGGAAUUAGUUUGAGAACCCAAUUAAAGAAGUAUUUCAUGACUUACUUAAAUAAAGACAAGACAUAAAUAUGGAAAAAUGAUGGAAAUAAAUUUUUAUAUCUUGAUUGAGAAACAAUAUUAUAUAAUGCAUUUGAUUUUUUUGUACUUUAAAUAUUUGCAAAUUAUUCUAGGACUAAAAGUUCCACCACAUGUAGAACUGUCGCGGAAAUAUCUUUCCAUUAAUAUCCGUGUUGAUAAGCUUUAUUGAGUCACAAUUUCUAAUGAGUUUCACAGGUUUGUCUUAUAUAAACACUUCAUAUGAAGUACAUAAUUGACUCAGUCAAAUGACAAUAUACGUAGAAAUAAUUCAUAUAUUGAAAUUAAUAAUUAUUGAUUUAUUUUUAGCAGUUGAACGUACGUAUACACUACCAUUUAAUGUAUUAAAAAAUUCACAUCCAUUAAAAAUUAAAACAUUAAAUGAAUACAAAAUAUAAUCCAAUCUCUCUAUCGAUGUUAAAUGAAUUUGAACAAGUGAUAUAGCUAAUUGGACAACAGAAUUCAUAUGUUCUUUUCAUCAGACAACAACAACCCAAGUUGUGAGGCUUCUUCCUCAUCAUCAACUUAUACUUUUUUUUUUCAACUUCCAAUUAUUAUGUGUUGUAAAACACAUAAAUUGUUUUAGGUGAAACUUAUGUGUCAACUUUCAAUCAUUAUUCAACUUUCUACCAAACAAUCUCUGAUAGAUUGCCCUCUGUACAAAGAGGAAAACAAUUUGAUGUAAAUAAUCGGAAAUUGAUCAAAGAUGAUUGUAUUCUUGAAAACCUAAAUUUAUAAGAAAAUUGACAUAUAAAAAGGAAAAUUCAGUGGAGAUUAAAAAUUAUGUUAUUAUUUUAAAGUGUCAAUAAAAUAUUGUUGUAUCGAUAAGUCUAUCAUCUUUGCUUAAGACUCAGGUUGUGUACUCAUAGGUUAAGCUUCAACCCCAUCAGAAAUAUUAUCUAAACUGAAGAGUUAUUAGGGUUAUUUGGUUUCAACGAGGGAUUUACGAGAAGAAAGAAAAUUUCACAAAUCAAAGAAUAAAAAAUUAAGAAAAUUUUUAGAAAAAAUAUUUCAACCUUAUUUUUUCACAAAUAUGCAAAAAAAGAAGCAUGACUAAAUCAAAGAAAAUAAAAGAUCUCAGGACUAAAUCAAACCAAUAAAAAAGCAUUUUCAAAACUUUUCUUACUUAAAAAAAAAGUUUUUAAAAAUUAUUUUAUUUUAUUUUAAAUUUAUCUUAUUUUAUUUUAUUUUAUAUUUUUUUUCUUUUCCAUUCACUUCCAACAAAACAAAAAAAAUAUGCAGAACACCAUUCCAAAAUUUGAUCACCAUAUAAUUUAUCCUGAACGAACAUUCAUAUACUAAAUUCAAAAACUGAAGUCGAAAUUAUAUUUUUCAAAAAUCGAAUUUCGAUGACUUAUCGAAUGACCUUCUUCCACCCUUGGUCAUUAUCGGAAAAAAUAUCUCAAAAAAAUCGACUCUCUGAAAACCAAUUUCAGAGAAGUUUUUAUUUGGAAUAAACCAAAAUCUCACCGUAAACAUAAAUCAGUGCGCUACUUGGAGAAAUAAAUCUCAAAGGUGCUAUUUAGGGAAUUAAUUCCCAAAAGUGUUCCACUUGGGAAAAAAAGUCCGCUCGAGUCACUGCACACCAAUUCUCAUGCUUAAGCUUUUCCACUAAAAUUGUUUGAGAAAUUGAACCACUAAAUCAAAUAGCCAAAUCACGUAUUCACCAAAUUUUCUACUAAUUCACUAAAUUGGUUAAUAACACAAGCAAAUACUGCAUUGGUUUUCAAUCAAUUUGAACAAUCAACACACCAUAUUUUUGCACCAAACCUGUACAGUAAAACAACAACACAAACAUAUUCUGUUUCCUGCUCCAAAAUUUGAAUCAUAAUAUGGAGUGAAUCAUCACACAAAAUAUUUUUUUACAAAAACAUUAUCUGCAGCUUAAACCAAUACAGAAAUUGAUACAACACAAAUUGCUACGAAGAUGAUCAAGAAAGCAAAAGACAAAGCACAUAGUGAAUAGUCAUCUUAGUAAACAAUUUAAAACUCCACAAAGGAUCACGUGUACCUCACUAGAGGAGCUGGACAUAAACCAACUCACCAACUAUUCUUCCUUUUGGUCUUCUUAUAAGAUAUAAAUAUGUUGUAAAUAAUUUGGACUCUCUUGAGGGGUUCAAAUAGUAGAAUAAGCAGGAAUAGGUGCCUAUAACAUAAUGAGGGUGUAGUUAUCAUUUUAGUUUGUUCCUAGCCCUUUAGGAAGAAAAUUUGACUAGUUUCUAGAUGAACAAGUCUAGGGUGCGAUUUUGACUUAGUCAAACCCUAAAGGAAUCCCUCACACAUUUACUACCCUACCCUUGCCCUUCUUGCCCACCAAGGCACCCAUUCCUAUAAAUAGGGUGUCUUACUCCAUGUAUUUUCAUGUUGAAAUUGAAUAGAAAAGUUACUCUACAUAAAUUACGUGAGGUUUUGUGAGGCUUGUGUCCUCUUAGCAAUUAGGUCUUAUCUUGAGUGAGUUGAGAGCUCUCAAGUGGCAGCCCUCUACACUUAUCUUGGAGGAAACCACAUUUCAAGUGGCGUGUCCCUUCUCUUCCACCACCAUAAGCAUUCUUUCCUUAAUAUCUUUUUCAAUUGUUUUCCAUUUCGCCAAUUUACUCUUUGGUUUAUGUUGUUGUCUUGUUUGAUUAUCCAUUCCACCUCCUUUAUUACAUUGUCUUCCUUUCAUGCUCUUUAAUUUCCGCCAUCAUUAUCAUUCACCAUAUACUUGUAUUUUUUCUUUGCCAUCUAGAAGUGAACCUUCACACUUUUCGUGUCCAGUGGGAAUCUUCUUUGGGUUCUCACCAUAUACUUGCUAAAAUAUCAAUCAUAAGUAAAGUGUCACCUCUAAAAUGGAACAAUCUAAAAUCAACUCACAUCACAAAUUGCUUCAAAAACUCUAGCACAAAUUCAACGCGAGUUUUUACAAAUCACUAAUUCAUGAACAAAAUAACUAAACUUCUCUAAUUUUCAAAAAUUUCACAAGAUUGAACAAUUCCUAUUAGAAUCGCACUCAAAUGGAACUCUAGUGUAGAAUUAACGUACCUCUUACUUAGUUGUCAACGUUGUAGGAUAUUUGACAAAGUUUAAGAUGAAUAAGUCAAGCUAGUUUUUAGGAGUUGAAUAAGUCUGUUGCAGAUUUUAUUUUUUUUAAUAGUGGUUCCUAUUUCUUAGUUGUUUGUUCCUUAGGUUUCGGUCUUUCGAUGGUUGUAAGGCUUCUAUAAAAGUCAUUCUCUUUUCAUUGUGGAAUAUACAAAAUAUUUCUAUUAUUUGAUAUCAGAGCUACACAUAGGAAGAGUGUUUGGGAGGAAAAACACAACACUGAAAAUGGCAGACACUACAAGUUUCAUCGCACCUGUCAUACCAAAAUUCGAUGGAGAUUACGACCACUGGAGUUUGCUCAUGGAGAAGCUUCUUCGAUCCAAGGAGUACUGGAGCAUCAUUAAACUAGGUUUUGACGAUCUGAGAAAAAAUGAAUCACCUACUCCGACUAAGAAAAAGGCGUUUGAAGAAGCUAUUCUCAAGGAUCUCAAAGCCAAAAACUACCUAUUUCAAUCAAUUGACAAAACCAUGUUGAAAAUUAUCACUAGGAAGGAGACAACCAAACAACUAUGGGAGUCCAUGAAAAUCAAGCAUCGAGGAAAUGCUAGAGUGGAACGCGCACAACUAUAAAGGCUAAGGAAAACUUUCGAAACCUUGGAGAUGAGGUUGGAGAACGAAUAAAGGGAUAUUUUUUCAAGAGUCAUGGAGAUCGUCAACGACAUGAGAAAUAGUGGAGAAGAAUUAGAUGAUGUCAAGAUUGUUGAAAUUUUUUUAAGAAGUCUCACAGACAACUUCAACUUUGUGGGUUGCUCCAUUGAAGAAUCAAAGGAUAUUGAUAGCCUUAUUGUUGACGAGUUACAAGCAUCACUACAAAUACAUGAGAGCAAGGUGGUUGAGAGAAGGAGUGAAGAGCACGUUCUGCAAGUGGAAAAUGUGUCAAGGAACGCUCAAAGAGGAAAAGGAGUUUACAGAGGACGAGGAAGAAGCAGCUAUAGAGGUAGAGGAAAAUCCUUUGUAAACAGAGCAACCAUUCAAUGUUUUCGAUGUGGAAAACAAGGUCAUUAUCAGUUCGAGUGCACUAGUGACGAAAAAAGAGUCAACUAUGCCGAGUUUGACGAAGAAGAAGAAUGUUUACCAAUGGCGCAUGUGGACGUGAGCAAUACUAAAGAAAGUGGCAUAUGGUUUUUGGACUCCAGAUGCUCAAACCAUAUGGCGGGGAAAAAUCUUGGUUUGUUUAUCUAGAUGAAGGUUUCAAGCAUUCUGUUCGGUUGGGAAACAACUCAAAGAUGGUGGUUCUAGGAAAAGGAAAAAUCAGAUUUGCAGUAAAGGGGAUAAUUCAAGUAUUGACUGAUGUUUAUUAUGUACCGAAUCUGAUCAACAACUUGUUGAGCAUUGGACAACUUCAAGAGAAGAAUCAGUCCAUUAUGAUCAAGAAUAAUGUGUGUAAGAUAUAUCAUUGUAAGAGAGGGAUAAUCAUGGAGACUCAAAUGACGAUGAAUCAGAUGUUUCUAGUUUACGCUAAGAAAAAACCAACAUCUGACAACUGUCUCAAGGUGGAAGAAGAAGACGUGGUUUCUCUUUGGCACAAGAGGUUUGGACAUUUAAAUAAUAAAUCCAUUAAGAUUAUGGCAAAGAAAGGAAUGGUGAAAGGGUUACCUAGCUUGAAGGAGGAUGUUAAGGUGUGCACAAUAUGCAAUAUGGGAAAACAACAACGAGAAAAUUUCCCAAAGAAGAGCAAGUGGAGAGCAACAAAGAAACUAGAACUAAUUCAUGCGAAUCUAUGUGGUCCAAUCACCCCAACGUCUCACAGUGGAAAAUAGUAUAUGUUCGUGCUCGUCGAUGAUUUUUCCCAGAAAACAUGGAUUCAUUCUCUUGCAGAAAAAGCAGAAAUGUUGAGGCUUUCAAAGAGUUCAAAAUUUCUGCUGAAAAAGAAGCUAAGACUGUCAUUCGGGGUCUGAGGAUAGACAGAGGAGGCGAAUUCACCUCAGACAAAUUCAACAAAUUUUGCAGAGAGCAUAUCAUAAAACGACAAUUGACGGCAUCGUAUACUCCUCAACAAAACGGAGUAGCAGAGAGGAGAAACUGAACUAUAAUGAACAUGGUGCGUUGCUUGCUCUUCGAGAAAGAAAUGCCAAGAUUUCUAUGGUCAGAAGCAGUUAGAUGGACAGUUCAUGUUUUGAAUCGAAGUCUCACAAAGGCAAUAAAAGAUAAGGUGCCUGAAGAGAGAUGGACAGAAAUCAAGCCAAAGGUUGACUAUUUCAGAGUUUUUGGUUCAAUAGCUCACGUUCAUGUUCUGACCACUGGUGCAGAAACAUAAAACAAGUGCGGCUAUUUCGAAUUUAUAAAUGCGACUUUAUAGCUGCAUUUGAUCAACACGCAUUUGUAAAUCAAGAAAUACAAAUGCGGCUAUAUAGCCGCAUUUAUAAAUACCAUUUACAAGUGCAGCUAUUUGUUUUAGCCGCACUUGUAUAUGUAAAUCAUUAAAAAAAAUUAAAAUUUUUAAAACAUCGUCAAUCUUGUGUGAAGGCAACGUUGAUGAAGAGUCACGGGAGCGCCAACAACGAUGGCAACAGCAGAAGCGGCGGCGGACAGGGAAGCAACGAUGGAGCAAACCAAAAAAUCCACAAGAACCCACGAAGACAAUGAAAGAGUACUGAGUAAUGCAAGAAACCAAACAAUGUAAGAAAAACGAAUGUUAGCCAACGGAACAGUGCUUCGAGACCACCAAUGCAAGGAAAAAAACAUAUAUAAGAAAAACGAAAACAUCUAUGCAUAUAUUUGUGAAAAUGAAGAGGAAGGAAGAGAGCUCAAGAAACUUACAUUGACACAAAUGGAAUGCAAAUGCAGUAGAAGGAGACGAACUCAGAGUGCGAACGUGAAACGAAGGCAAAGACGAGAAAGAAAGUAUGAAAUUGUGUGUGGCGCGCUUCAAAAUUUAGGGUAAAAAAGGAUUUACGAAUGCGGCUAAAGGUAAAACCGCAUUCGUAAAUCAAAGAGUUUUGAUUUACGAAUGCGGCUAUUUGUAUAGCCGCAUUCGUAAAUCAAGCACUUUGAUUUACAAGUGUGGCUAUACAAAUAGCCGCAUUCGUAAAUCAGGCGCUUUGAUUUACAAGUGCGGCUAUAUAAAUAGCCGCAUUCAUAAAUCAAAACUCUUUGAUUUACGAAUGCGGUUAUACAAAUAGCCGCAUUCGUAAAUCAAAAUAAUUUCAAAAAUGCCACCGCGUUUUUUACGAAAGCGGGUAGCGCAAAAGCUGCACUAAAUAAAGAGUAUCCUUUUCUUCUUUUUGCAUUAGUGGACACAAAAGAGAAUCAAGCUUGAUGAUCGAAGUCAUAGAUGUAUCAUGCUUGUAGUUAGUGAGGUAUCAAAGGCUUAUCGACUGUAUGAUCCAAUCACGAAGAAAAUCACAAUAAGUAGAGAUGUUAUUUUCGAAGAAGAAGCGCAGUGAGACUGGACAUUGAGUACACCAGAGCAUAACAUAUUCACAUGGGAUGAUGAUGAUGGAAUUCUCGAAGGAGAACAAACUGAGGACGAAUAUGAGGGAGAAGGACCUGAAAAUUCUGAAGCAAUAAAUGCUCUGAGAGAAGAAAUAGAAGAGAUCACUACAACAACAAUUUUUGUGCGUGAACGUGAAAAACAAUAAAAAAGAGCAAGAAAGCCGCUUGGAUGGAUGCAAGAUUUUGUUAAUGGAGAAGAAGAAGAUGAUAAUUGGGCAAAAUAUGUUUUUUUCAUAUGUAAUGAUGAUUCGAUAAACUUCUCUAAAGCGGAACUAAAGCGGAAAAGGAAGAAAAGUGGAAUAAAGCAAUGAAGUUGGAGAUUUAGUCCAUUGAAAGAAAUAACACUUGGGAACUCACAUAAUUUCCAAUAGGAGCAAAGACAAUCGAUGUCAAAUGGAUAUACAAAAACAAAGCUGAAUUAAGAAGGAAAUGUCGAAAAAUGCAAAGCACGUUCAGUGGCGAAAGGCUACUCUCAAACAACAGGGGUGGAUUAUACAGAAGUUUUUGCACCAGUGACCAGAUGGGAUACAAUUAGGAGUAUUCUUGCAGUAGCUGCCCAGCAAGGUUGGUGUGUUUAUCGACUCGACGUCAAAAGUGUUUUUCUAUACGGUGAAUUGAAAGAGGAAGUCUAUAUUGAUCAACCUGAAGGGUAUCUUAAAGUAAGGGAGGAAGACAAAGUCUAUCGUUUUAAAAAGGCUUUCUAUGGCUUAAAACAGGCGCCAAGAGCAUGGUUAAGCAAAAUUAAGAGUUACUUUACAAAGGAAGGGUUCAAGAAAAGUGACUAUGAUCACACCCUGUUCUUUAAGAAAACAGAAAACAAUUUAUUGGUGGUAAGUCUUCUAUGUUGAUGACUUGAUUUUUACUGGAGGUGACGAGAUAUUGUGCGUAGAAUUCAAGUCCUCAAUGCAGAAAGAAUUUGAAAUGAUGGACAUGGGAAAUAAGUAUGGAAAGGAGUAUGCAAAGGAGGUGUUGGAGCGUUUUAAUAUGGGGAACUAUAACUCUGUCAAAAAUCCAAUAGUUCCAGGAACUACUGUUUCAAAGGAAGGUAUUAAAAGAGGUGAUGCAACACUCUACAAGCAACUUGUUGGCUGUCUAAUGAUCUUACGGUAACAAGACCUGAUUUGAUGUUUGUAGUGUGUUUGAUUUCACGCUUUAUGUCUGACCUUAAGGAAGAACAUAUGUUGAUUGCCAAAAGAGUACUAAGAUACGUAAAAGGAACACAUGACUUUGGAGUGUUCUAUGGGAGAUCGUCAAAAAUAAAUUUGUUGGGAUACACGGAUAAUGACUAUGCUCGAGAUGUAGAUGACAGGAAGAGCACCUCUAGAUAUGUUUUCUUGCUAAAUAGAGUUGUAGUUAGUUGGAGUUCACGAAAGCAAGACAUUGUCACUCUUUCCUCAACCAAAGUUGAAUAUGUUGCAGUGAGUUCCUCUGCGUAUCACUGUGUUUGGCUAAAAGGGAUGUUGUGGGAAUUAGGAUUUGUAAAUGGUGAAUGCAUAGACAUUAUGUGUGACAACAACUCAACGAUUAAGUUAUCUAAGAAUCCAGUCAUGCAUCAGAGGACAAAACACAUUGAUGUUAGGUAUCACUGCUUGCGAAACUCGUGUGAAACUAGUGUAAUGAAGAAAUCAUGAAGCUGAUUUUGUUGGAAUAAAUGAUCAAGUUGCAGACAUCAUGACUAAGCCUAUCACGUUGGAUCACUUGGUGAAGCUCAUGAAUUUGCUUGGAGUUCGAAUGAUGAAAAAUUAAACAACAACAUCAGUUUAAGGGAAGAAAUUAUGAAUAUUUGACAAAGUCUUAAGAUGAAUAAGUCAAGCUAGUUUUGCAGAUUUUUUUUUUCAAGAGUGGUUUCUAUUUUUUAGUUAUUUGUUCUUAUAUUUCGAUUUUUCGGUGGUGGUGGUAAGACUUCUAUAAAAGUCCUUCUAUUUUUAUUUUUAUUGUGGAAAAUACAAAAUAUUUCUAUUAAACGUCACUGGAAUUCCACCGUAGCGCCUGAAUUCACCGUUUCCAACUUCAAUUUGCUUGAGUAAUUUUUCGUUCGCACAAAUUGCUUCAAAUUCAGUUUACAAGAUUGAAUCAGAACCACCGAAAAUUAAUCACCAUUCCAAUAAUCUUCUCCGUUCACUAAUUUUAGGUCACCGGAAACUGCUAUUUCCGUUCACCGAUUCCGUUCGUCAGAAUCCGCAAGAGUUCUAGUCACAAAUCGCAAAUAAAGAAUUGCACCGAUGCACGCCAAUGAAUUCGUUUUUGUUUCUGCCUUUUCAAUAUCGUGCCAAGAACUCCAGCAAAAUUGAUGAACACAAUGGGAAAACGUAAAUCGGAAAGUUGCACAAACAAUCUGUUCACCUCUCUCACCAGCCAACACCUUUUGCACAACACGGUGAAGAUAAAAUAAAUCACCGAUCUACUUUUUCAUUUCAGCUGCUUCUCCUAUCAAUUUCUGACCAAGCUUCGAGACAUGAAUCGGUUCAGAUGGAGCAGAAGAGGAUUUGAAAACUUCUGAUAUUACAAAAUCGCGCCAAAAACUCAAGCAGAGAAUCAACGUGGAUGAAGACACAUCAAGAAUUCCACAUAAUUUUGAAUAAGAAAUCAAAUUUGAUAUUCUCACCUCUACAGACUUCUUUUUACACCACAGAAUAUAUUUUUGGAAAAUUUCGAAAAUUUUCAAAAAUAAAUUUUGGAGAAGAUGAUAAUGAAAAUCUAACUUUAAAGAAAAUUGGUAAUAUGAUCUAAUAAAAAAUUAUGAACUCAAGAAUGAAAAAUAAAAGCACUCAAGACUCUAAAACAAAAAUUGAUUUUUCUUUUGAAGAAGUUCCACUAAUAGAGUUUAUGACAAAUUUAAACUAAACAUAAUUCUAGACAAAAUAUUUAUAAUUUUAAAAUUAAAAUAACUCAAUUAUAAGAAAAUUUCAUCCAACAAAAUUUAAAAAAACUCAAGAAAGUUCAUUUUUUUUUAUUCAUGAUAAAAUAUGUAUUAACUUCUCAUAUUAGACAAUGUCUUAUCAUUAUUCUUCAAUCAACAAAUACCUACUUAAAGGACUAUAUGUAAAAAUGACAAUAGUUCAAUGUAUCCAUUAAUGUUUAGAUAUUUUAUAAUUAACGUCAGUUUAAUCGAUUCUACUCGCGUUUCUCUUUUUUCUUGUAGUCAAAUUAGAAUUCUAGACUAUAAUAAUAUCUCAUUUAGGUCGACGGAAAGUUUGAAAACUAAUCUCAUGUUUGCAAUACUAAAUAUUAGAAAAAUAUAAAUCAUGAUGGCUUAAAAGCAUUUAUUUGUAUUUAGUCAAUUGUCUUAACCAAUAUUAAUCAUAUAAAUUAUCACCUAUUAAUGAAAUAUUUAGAAGUGAUAAAUAAUAAUUUUGUAAACAUAUUUAUAUAAUUGUUUAAAAUAUAAAUUGUUUGAGUGUGCAUGAUAAUGUUUGCAAUUUAUUAUAUAUACUUUAACAAAUAUUUAGAAAUGUGACAAUGUAAAAUUAAAAAUCAAUAAAAAAUAUAUUAAAAAUUACAAUAUAAAAUAUUUAAGUUAAAACUUAAUAUCUGCGAAAAGAGUUUUUUUUUUAAUUUAAAUAUAAUAAACUAUCUGUAAUCAUCACUUAAACAAGAGAAAAAUAGCACGCCUUCUGUCUUAAAUCAUCGCGUGUAAUCAUUACUUUUGCUUAAUUACAUCCAAAGCAGAAAUUUUGGCCAUUUUGCAUGCAAUUCAUGUAACUAUUUUAGAACGUAAUACCAUGUCCUUGUAUCCCAUAGUUCACUACAAAAUACAAAAUAAUAUAAACAAGUGAAACAUCAAGGACAACCAAGUGUUUAGAAAAAAGGAGGAUGCAAAUAACUAGUCUUACCAGUAAAUAGUUUCAACACUUAAUUAGCUAGAGUUGGUUGUUUGAUAGUCAGUCACUAUUUCAUCUUCUAGAAAUAAAAUAGGCUUUGGAGGUAUUUCCAAGUCUUCAAUAUCCCCUUCAAGCAUUUUCACUACUCUAUUCAUUGAGGGUCGAUCAUUUGGUUUUAGUUGUAUACACCAUAGUGCAACUAUGAUCAUUUUCUUUGCUAUUUUAUUUUCCUCCUCUGUCACAUCUCCGAUAUCUACGUCUUCCUCUUCCCGAAUAUAAUCAUGUAUCCAAAGGGGAAAGUAAAGUUGACUUGAGUGAUCUGCAUGAGUAUUUAGAUUCUUCCUCUUACUUGCCAUCUCCAUCAAUAACAUUCCAAAGCUAUAAACAUUAGCCUUAUAGGAUAUUCCUCCAAUAUUAUUAUAAAACAAUUUUGGAGCCAUAUAUCCAAUGGUUCCUCUUGCUGCAGUCAUUGUGACGAUGCUAUUAUUUAUUGGAUAUAACUUUGCCAAUCCAAAGUCAGAAACCUUAGGGAUGAAGUUUUCAUCUAGUAAGAUGUUAUGGGGUUUGAUGUCAAAAUGCAAAAUUUGCAUCUCACACCCAUGGUGGAGAUAAGCAAUCCCACGAGCCACUCCUAUUGAUAUAUUAUAUAUCUUUUCAUAGCUUAAAUGUAUAUUUCUCUCUUUUGAGAGAAUAAAUUUAUCAAGAGAUCCAUUGGGCAUGAAUUCAUAGACAAGAGCACGCUUUGAGCCACUAACACAAAAUCCAAUUAACUUUACCACAUUUUGAUGAUGUAUCCUUCCAAUGGUUGCAACUUCACUGAUAAAAUUUUGUCCAUUUCCUUUGCAUUUCCCUAACAUUUUGAUGGCGACAUAAGGCCCACUACGCAACUUUGCCUUAAAGACAUAGCCAAAUCCUCCUUCGCCUAACUUAUCUUUGAAACCUGCAGCCAUCUUCUUAAUUUCCUUGUAUGAGUAUCUAAUAUGUGCCAAACUAUUUUGCUGAAGGUAAUUUUCAAUAUUUUCAUACAUUGACAUAUGUCUUUUUCUCCAUUUACGUAUAAAAAUAACAAUUAAGAAUGGCAACCCAAACAAAACUUUGUAAGCCCAUAAUAUAGAGAUAUAUAUGAGAAUAUCGGCAAGAAGUUGUUACUUGAGUGAUUAUUACACUAAUAAUAUAAUGCAAUAAAGUAUAUGAGAAAGUAAAUUAUCAUUCAUAAAAUCCAAACUUUACUCAUCUAUUUACUUAGUAACAUUACAAAAAGUGUAAAUUUAAUUAUCAAUAAAUUUCUUUUUUAACGUUGCUAUCUAUGAAUAAAUUUUCCUGUAACAUUAAUGUGUUCUAAGACCUAAUUCAGUGAUGGUUGUAAAAAAUGCAAACAAUUUUUUUAAAAUAAUUUCUUUAUUUAGUUUCUAUAAACUUUUAAUAAUUAUAAUUUUGUUUCAUGUGGAUUGUCUAUUUUAUGGUGUACGUUGUAAUGAUGAAAUAGAGACAAUAAUACACCUGUUUUGUAGAAUGCAAAAUGAUUAGUAAGGAUAAAUGGAUAGGAGUUGAUUCGGUGUCAUAAUGAUACUAAGUUUAACUAUUAAUAGUUUUACUCAGUUCACUUAGAGUUGUGGGUUAGAUGUCAGCUGGUAUACAACAGGCUCGUUUAAAUUCCGUAUUAUGAAAAUUUUGGAAAAAGAAACUAGUAUCACAACUAAUUUUGGUACGUAAAUGGAACAUGUUCGCAAAUGGAGGCUGAUUACUCUCUCAUAUUUUGUAUAAAGGAGUUGAGUUGUAUUAUCUUUCAAAUGUUUUAUUUAACUUUAUUAAUUCUUUGCUAAUACAAAAAAUAAAAAUAGAUAAAAAAUUCUCACCUUUUUCAUAUACUAUUAUUAGUUCUUCCAGUAUUCCUGUAUCACCCAAAAACGAAGGAAAAUAUCAAUUUCAGAACUGUUAAUCUCAAUAAAAAUAUAUGUUUGACAUUUGGAUUAGGAUUACUCACCAACAGCAUACGGGCAUUUAAGCUUCUGGUUAUAAGAGUCGAAAUAGCCAUAACUAGGGAAAAAUAGACAAUGUUUAUGACAUGCUAGUUUUAUCCAUGAAAUCUCGAAUCCAUAGGCGAGUGCUGUGUGCAUGGAAGAGUAGGAAUGGUUAUCGAAAGUGGAGAGAGAAGUGGGAGCAACAAGCUUUACCUCACACCCAAUUUCUAAGUCCUCAGCUUUUAGGUCUCCACCAAUUGCAUAUGCAUACCCCUUCCCCUCCCACUUCACCCACUCUCCACUCUCCACAUACUUCCCUUUCUCUUUCACCCAAUCCUUACAAUUCACAAACACUAUAUGCGAGAAACUCACAGAUUUCCAAUUAAAAAUGGCACCUAGACCGGCUUGGUAUUGAUCCGAGUAUAAAGUGUAAGUGUCAGAGAAAUUGGAGCGAGAGAGGAAGCGGAGAGGAAGGGAGGAGAGGUUAUGGUGUUGAAGAGCAGGAUCAACCACUCUCACUGUGUAGUUCUUGUAGUUUAUUGACUGCACAUUAUAUUUUCCAGAGUACAGAUACAACACCGUGACGUUAUUCUCACAACCAAGCUCAUACCUUUUCUCACCACACUCUUCUGGGUCGCCUUUUAAUCGAAAAGGGUAAUUGAUGUUGGUGAUUUUAGCACAGGAAGAAGAGGGGCAGCCACCAUGAAUUUUCCGGACAAGAAGUAGCAGUAGCACCAUGAAUGCCCUCUCUCUCCACAUCAUGUCCAAACUGUUUCUCAUUUAAUUCAAGUGCAAACAGAUCGAAGUUAGAUAUUUAUAUAUAACACAACACAGACCGAACUAUAUUUAUAAUUAUGAAGGACCACGUUACUUAAAACGUGGUCUUUGACUCGGAGACCGCGUUUCUACAUGGUUUCAAAUAUUCGUGAAAUGCAUGAAUUCUGAUUUAGAUAUUCGUGUAGUAAUUCUGAUUUCCUUUCUUGCUUUCUUCUUCAUGUAUUUUUCUGAAACAUAAUACAUAAAGCAAGGUUUUGUUAUGAAUCUUUGCAAUAAUCCCGCAAGCUCAUAUUACUUGGAGAAAAUUCUGGAAUUGCGGUUAUCUCUCCUCAACUCAAUGGAGAAAAUCCCUUCGCAAAAAGGGAAAAUUGUGGUAUUAAAGUUCACACCCUCCUAGUUAAGUUUGAUCUUGUUGGUACUUAUUCCACCAUAACCCUCCAAGAAAAGGUUUGAGCAUUUUGGAAUGCUUUGACAUUCUCAAACAAAUUGAGUAAAGUAUUGUUAGCACUCACAUAGGUAUUUUUUAAUAUAGCAUAUGAUGACUUGAAAUAGAGAAUAAUCUAGGGAAUUUUUGUUUAAGGGUCACCUCUCCUAACUAUACUUUCAAUAAGUGAUUGAUAGAUGUUAUUUAUUGACUUAUUUUUCUACAUGCCCUUUGUGACGUUAUAGGUAAGUUUCAAUAUUAAGCCUCUAAGGCUCGGCCUGAGGCUAGUAGGAUGUAUGGUAUUAUAGGUAGGUUAUGAUCUAUAUAACGAUAAUUUGAAUUGAAUGGGAGUCAAUUCUAGAAAAAAUCCUACUAUUAUAUAUUAUAUAUAAUUGAUGAGUCCCAUUAAUGUCUCCUAGACAUUUAAGACAAUUUAAGGAAAGAAUAAAGUGUUAAAGUACGACCAAAUACAAGAAAUGGGGUGAAUUGUUUUCACAAUAUUUUCGUAAUAUGGAGUCAACUUGAAAUUUUAAUAAAAUCAAUUAAUUGAUUUAUCUGUUCAACUAAUUAUAAAAAGCACAACAAGUAUAUAUUAAAAAAUUAAACUAAUUGUUAUGAGAAUUCAACCAAUUGAUUUAAAUGCAAAAAGUAGAAGGUUAUUAAUUAAAUAGAUAUAUUGUAAUUAUUGUAUUAACUAUUCCUAUUUUAUCGAACCCAAGUUCUUUCUUUGACUAAAGAAACAUUAACCACUAGACCAGACAAGUUCUUUAGUCAUAUUAUCACUUUUAUUAUACUUAUUAUUAUUAAUAUUAUUAAUAUUGUUAGUAUUGUUAAUAAUAACUAUAAUAAAAAUCAUGAUAAUACUAAAGAAUUUGUGUGUGGUAGUGGUUAAAUUUUCUUUGGUCACGGAAGGAACUUGGUUUUGAAUCCCAUCUAUUGCAAAUUUUAUAGAGGACAUGCACGUAGACGUCGUGGUCACGGAAACAACAAUGAAGAAAGAGGACAAAUGAACCAACAAAACUGGCGUGGACGAGGUCGUGAUCUUGGUGGUCAUUCACAUCAUUCAAAUGUUGAAUGUUACAAUUGCAAGAAAUAUGGACACUAUGCAAAGGAGUGUUAUGCCAAGAAAAAAGUGGAAGAAAGUGCAAAUUUAGUGGAGGAAGAUGAGACAAAAGAGGGAGAAAUUCUCAUGAUGGCCAAUGAAGGUGUCAUUUUGGAUAGUGACAUGGUAUGGUAUCUAGACAUUGGUGCUAGUAAUCAUAUGUGUGAGCACAAAUAUCUCUUUCUUGAUAUACAAGAGAUAGAAGAUGGACAUGUGUCUUUUGGAGACUCAACAAAAGUUUCAAUCAUAGGUCGGAGAAAAAUAUGUUCUUCCCAAAAGGACAAAAAAGAAUGCACUAUGGAGGAUGCUCAUUAUGUACUUGAUUUGAAGAAUAAUAUUCUUAGUAUGGGACAAUAGUUGGAGAAGGGUUAUUCGGUUUCCAUGAAAGACCAGAUUUUGCACUUGAAGGACAAAAAUGGACGAGUGCUUGCAAAUGUGGAGAUGGCGAAUAAUCGAAUGUUCAAACUUAACUUAAAGAAUACAUUGUUGGAGAAGUCCUUUUGUGAUGAAAAAAAUUGAGAUUGAAGAUUUAAGAGAAAAAUCAAGUAGUUUGAAAGAAUUUUGCAAUUUUCUGAAUAAUGAAAAAGCAAAAUCUUCUAAAUGAAAGGAGUGUCCUACUAUCUCAAUUGGAGAGUGUUGAAGAAAAAUUUGGUAACCUGGAAAGAAGGUUUACAAAAUUGGAAGAAAAAUAUAUUGAUAUGGAGAAAGACAAAGAAAGUAGAGUCAAUCAAGUUGAAGAACUCCAUUUGUUACUUUUGGCACAAAAGGAAAAGGUGAAUGAAUUACAAUCUAAAUUAGAAAUCCAUUAUAAUUUUACAAAUUCCCUUGAAGCUAUCAAGAAGCUAAGGGUAGAACCAAAGGUGAAUGACAAGUAUCUUCCAUCUUUUGUUAAUACUUCAGAUAGUAUGAUUGCAGGGUGCAGUAAAGUUGUUUGUGACAAUAAUGGUUUUGAUUUGAGAAAAGACAAUAAAUGGAAUGCUGUCAAGGCAUCAUCUGGAAGGGAUAUAUGGUCUAAUCAUUAUGUUCCAAGCUCAUUGAAGCCGCAGUCUUUCUUAAAUCCUUUUAAUUCAAAGGGUGAAAGUGCAAAAGAUUUUAUUUGGGAGACUAAAAGUAUUUCAAUCCAGAACUCUGCAUGGGUUGGUGCAGUGAAGAAGACUGAAGUUGCUUUGAAUUCAUAACAAUGUGGUGACUGUUGGGAAAAUAUUGAAAAUGUGGGUGAUGACGAUCAGAAAAAACAAUCUGAAUAAAGAAUAUGAAAGGUUUAAGAGAGGAAUUGGUUAACAUUAAACUCAAAGCAGUCAUUAGUUUUAUUUAGAAAUUUGAAUGGUCAAUAAUUAUUAGCUUUAAUCAUAGUUUUGAAUGUCAUUUAAAUUGUGAUUUUAAAUGUAAUUUAUAGUAUAACUUUGAUGAGAGAGAAUGUAGAAUUUGAAAAGUCUAUUGUAAGACUAUUUCCAAAAAUUGUAUUCUUAUUUGAAAAGUAAUAGUGAAAUAAAAGUUUUAUUCUCGGUUCAUACUCGAAACUCAGAGAUUCCCAAUUUUCAUAGGGUCUUAGACCGGCUUGGUAUGGAUGCGAGUAGUAAAAGGAAGUGUAAAUGUAAGUGAGAAAUUGGAGCGAGAGAGGAAACGGAGAGGAAGGGAGGAGAGAUUAUGGUGUUGAAGAGCAGGAUCAACCACUCUCACCGUGUAGUUCUUGUAGUUUAUUGCCUGCACAUCAUAUUUUACAGAGUAAAGAUACAACACCGUAACGUUAUUCACACAACCAAGCUCAUACCUUUUCAGACCACACUUUUCUGGGUCGCCUUUGAAUCGAAAAGGGUAAUUGAUGUUGGUGAUUUGACCACAGGAAGAAGAGGGGAAACCACCAUGAAUUUUCCAGACUAGAAGUAGCAGUACCACCAUGAAUGCUCUCUCUCUCCACAUAAUUUCCAAACUGUUUCUCAUUGAAUUCAAUUGCAAACAAAUCCAAGUUAGAUAUUUAUAUCUAAAACAACACACACUGAAUAUAUACCUAUGAAGGACAACAUUUUUCCUUUUACAGAAUUGUUUGAAGACGUAUGAUACUUAAAACGUAGACUUUGACUCAGAAACCGCGUUUCUAUCUGGUUUCCACAACUCAUUUUAAUGAAUACCAAAUUUUAAAUAUUCGUAAAGUGCAUGAAUUCUGAUUUAUGUAUUUAAUCAUGUAAUGUACAUUAAUGGUGUUCUUUGAGUUUCUAAAACCAUCCUAAAUUGUUCUUUUUGGAAGCUUAUAUUUCGAAAUAUAAUUUUAAUGACUAUAGAAUUUGAGUCCCAAAUAAUGUUUGUUUGGUUAAGAAACUUUAACAUGUGAUUGGUACAUAUUGUUUUGGUGACUUUUUGCCCCAAAAAGGGCCUCAUCUGUUUCCUCGUGUUAAUUUCAUGAACAUAUUCUUGUUGGACAUGGGAGAAGAAAAGAGUGACGGUGGGCACCAAGUGUGGUAGCAGAAAAAAGCACUAACAAUGCCUGACCUUUUCUGUAUGUGUAAAAGGUCAAGGACAGAGAAAAACAUAUGGAAGCAAUUCCACACACGUAACCCAAAAUUCCACCAUGUUUUUUAGCUUGUGCCUUGAAAAACUCAAUAAUUAAAAGUGCGUUUCCAAGAAUUUGACGAAGUUACUCACCAUUAACUAGUUGGUAUUGGUAGAUCACACUCUGUAAACUCACCAGAUCACUCAUCAUCAAGGUUCAUUGAUAAAGGUGUAUCCUAGCCAUCACAACGUGUAUAAUAAAACAUGUCCAAAAGAUUCACACUUAUUGUGAAUCAUUGACAACCUAAUAGAUGGUGUAUUGGGGUACUAGAUGUUGAGUUUCAUGGACAACAUAAUAUGCAGCAACCAUGCAGCUAUCUUCUUUCAUGGUUUGUGUGCUGUCAUAUAUACUUUUUUCUGGUUUUCUGCAUAAUCUGCAGCAAUCUUUUAUGUUGUAUUGGGGUCUAGAUGUUGAGUUUCAUGGACACUUAUUUAAAUUAGAACUAAACUAGAAUGAAUCUGAAUAUGAAGACAAAACAACAUUAUGGUAGAAAUAUUUAUUUUUUCCUUAUUUUCUUUUCUAAAACAUCAUUCAAAAUUUUCGGUGGUUAUUGCAUAAUUAAUUUCAGAUGUAUAUUUCUUACGUAAAAAUUAAAAAUUGAAAGUUAGAAUUAUAUUUUCCAAAAAUCAAUGACCCAUCAAACAACUUUGUUCCGUUCUUGUUUAUUAUAAAAAAGUACUUUCAAAAUUCGAUUAUAUAAAAACCUUGAAAAUUUUUGUUUUUUGAAAUAAGAAAUAAAGGUGAGAAUUGGAUUUUCUGUGAACCAAAUUCUCAUGUUAACAUAAAUGGUGCUAUAAAAAAAUUAAAUUUCAAAUAGUAUUUUCUAAGAAAUUAAAUAUGAAAUGGUACUAAUCAUAGAAUUAAUUCUCAAUCUCAAAUGAUAUUUUCCAAGGAGUUAAAUAUCAAAUGGUAUUGUCCAUAUAAUUAAAUCGCUAGAGCGUUCCAGUUGGAGAAAAGAAGUCAACAUUUAAUAUUUAUUAAACACUAUUCAAACUACUCUAAAGAUAAAAAAAAAUGGUAUAUUUUAAAAAUAAUGAAUAAAUAACGAAAAAAAACAUUUAGAAUGAUAAAAAUAUAAUUUUGAGAAAUAUAAAUAAAAAAUAUUUUUGUUGGGUCAUGGGUCUGGGCUGACCUUGGGUCAUUAAGGUAAGAUUGUGAUCUACAUGGAUAAUAUAAAGGAAAUAGCAUGAAAUACGAGAUCUGAAUUUAUUAGCAUUAACCAGACAGUAAGAAUCAUAACGAAAGUCUUGAGGUUAAGACUGACUCCAUAUAUACUGGGUAAAACCUCACACAUAGAGAGAUUAGAGAUUAGGUCAAAAGCACACUUGUUCUUGGCUACCUUUAAUGUUCUGGAUUAAGGUCGUCCAUUGGCCUGUCUAGAACAUUUUGGUGCCCACCGUGGGACUAGGUAAAUUGUUCCUACCUUCACAAUAUUUUCCUUAUUUCACGUAUGCUUAUUUAAAUGAGAGGAACGAGGCGAACAACAAUGGAAGAAGAAGUUGGUGGAGCCCAGAAUGAGGGAUCUUCAUCAGAUACGAUUCGUAUGUUGAUGGAAAUGAUGGAAACUAUGAGGAGACAAAAUGAUGAGUGUGCAGAAGCGUUUAGAAGAUCACAGGAGGAGACCAGACAAAGAAUGGACUAGGCAAUUAGAGGACAAGAGCGGUUACAAGUGCGAAAUGAAGAGUUACAAAAGCGGGUAGAUGAGCGAGUUGCUAGAAAGUGGGUGAUGGAGAGGUAGAGUCAGAUUUCCAACCAUUUUCAGAAGAUAUCGUGAAUGAACAAAUUCUGGCAAAUUAUGUUUUCCCCAAAAUUGGUUCAUUUACAGGAAUGCAGGAUCUGAAUGCUCAUAUAAAAACGUUCAGGGCACAUAUGUUAAUUCAUGGAGGUUCGGAUGCUCUUCGAUGAAAGGAAGGUAUGGUGGAUAUAAAUCUUCGAGCCAUGUCUUACAUUAAAGUGGAAGAAUUUACUAAAAGGAAGAAGGAAUAGGAAAUGAGAGGUGAAGAUGGGAUGCGGUCAAAAGGUGAAAAGGCAGUAGUAAAUUUUAGAUCAAGCAAUAACAAUGGAGGUCUGAUCAAAGUAAGGAGGGAGGAUCGGUCAUAUGGAAGACCAUAUGGAGAAAGGAGACAUACGAAUGAAAGAAGGGAGGAGAUACAUGCAUGGUACCCGCCAAAGUUGACAGCAUCUCAUAAUGAUUUCGCAUUUGGAAACUUGAAAAAAAAAUAGUAACCCAAUUGUUCUAACUUUAAAGAUGUAAAGUAUUUAAUAGAGAAAAACAAGAGAAAAAUAUUGUAGAUGUACUUCUACUUAAAAAAAGAAGGUGAAUGUAAAACAAAACUUUAUUAUGCAUCGUUAAAUAGUAUGCUUCACUAAAGGAUCAAUUACAUAUAUACUUGUACAUUAAAUAAUAUUAUAAAAUAGAAUAGAGAUAAACAAAAGAGAUCAGAGGUGAACAAAAGAGUAAAAGAAAGACAAAUGAUAUGAGAAUGAAUAUUAAUUAUUCAUGGAAUCAAAACAAAUAUAUACAAGUAGUACACUCAUUCUAGGUCUAGCUAAAAAGAGAAAGAAUCAAUCAAUAAAUACUAAAAUCAUAACAGAGAAAGACAAAAUAAAGGUUAUUUACCUCUAUAAAGAGAAACAACUAAGAAUUAGAAAAGACACCCAAAUAUUGAUGAGACCCAUCUUGGAACAAAUACUCUUGAAAGAUUGAGAGAACUUAAAGCUUUGGUAUAAAUGUCAACCAGUUGCUUUGUGGUGAAAAUGGGAAGCAAAUGGAUGAGACACUUCUUUAUUUUUUCUCUAACAACGUGACAAUCUAUUUCUAUAUGUUUCGUACGCUCGUAAAACACUGGAUUUGUUGCAAUGUAUCUUGCCGAGUCAUUUUCACAGUAUAAAAGAAAUGGUUGCUCAAAAGGAACUUUGAAAUCUUGAAGAAGAUAAGUUAGCCAUUGAAUUUCACAUGUAAUAGUGGUCAUUGCCCUGUAUUCAGCUUCACAGGAACUCUUUGAUAUUUUUCCUUGCUUCUUUGCUUUUCAGGAUAUGAGAGAAUUUCCAAGUUACACACUAAAACUAGUCACUGAUUGACUUGAAUCACUGUUGAUACCCCAAUCACUAUCACAAAAGGCUUUGUGAUGAGCAGAAGUGUUGAAAGAGAAAAAUAAACCAAGACUUGGAGCUCCUUUAAGAUACAUGAUAAUUCUAAUCGCUACAGUAUAAUGAGAAGCUGUAGGCUUAACAAGAGACUGAGAAAGUUGUUGCACAAAAAUGUUAUGUCAGGUCGGGUAUUAGUGUGAUAUAUAAGUCUUCCAAUCAAUCUUCUGUAGGCUUGAAUAUCUAUGAAAGGAACACUUCCAGUAGAAGAGAAUUUUUCAUGAUUAUCAAUAGUGAAUGCAGGUUUGUAGGCUAAAAGACUUGCAUCUGUUAACAAUUCCAUGCAUAUUUCCUUUGAUUCACCAUUAUUCCUUUCUUACUUCUUGCUACUUCUAGACCAAAAAAAUAUCUUAAAUCCCCAAGACAUCGACUUGUUCUCUAAUUUGGGAGAAGGAAGUUUGAAAAGUCACACUAUCAAGAUCUGAUACUUGAUAAUCGAUGCAAAUACCUCAUACGACAUUCUCCUGAGAAGAUUAUUCUUAAACAACCUAGAAGCUAUAGUUUCAACAUGGCACUUAAUAGUGAAGUUCCCUUAUGCAUCCGGAGACAUCAUCACGAUCCACGUCAAUUAAAGAACCAUGGGAGAAUGCUACUUUGUCAUCUUGAGAAUUGCACCCUUAUAUCCUAGUUGAGAUUUCCAAACGACAUAUGAUUGACCUCAAUCCUUGAAUAAAUGAUGAUGUAAGGAUCAAGCUCGACGAAGACACAACCACCAUUUGAUUAAGGCACAAAGGGCAAGAAACAAGGAUAUGGACCAACCUCAUAGAAUCUGAGGCAAGAUGAUAUAUUGGGUCCUAAUUCAAAAUGCUAACUUAUUCACAUGGACAAUCGAAAACAUGCCAGGGGUAGACCCUGAGGUGAUCUUGCACAAGUUAUUUGUGUAUAAGGAAGCUUGCCAGGAUUGCAAAAGAAGACAAAAUUAGGGGAUGAGAAGUGAAAAGUUGUCGAAGAGGAGGUUGAGAAGCCUAUCAAUGCUAAAUUUAUAUGAGAAACACGAUACACAACAUGGUUAGAAAACAUAGUUAUGGUAAACAAAGUCAGUAAAAAAUUGAGAAUGUGUACAAAGUAUAUGGAUAUCAACAAGGCAUAUCCUAAAGAUAUUUAUCCCUUACAAAGUAUAGACUACAAGACACAAGGUCCUCAACUUCCUAAACGCCUACUCAAUAUAACCAAAUAUAAAUGCACUCAAAAAAUGAGAAAAAGAUGAUUUCUAUGAUCAACAACGCCAACUAUUUUUCUCCAAGUUUGAUUCAACUUUGUCCGAGUAAACAACAUCAAUUUUUCCAAAAACUUAUGCAACCGAAAUGGAUGUUCUUGCAACUCCCACAUCUGAUGCAAAAUUGAUCGUAAUGUUGUAACCCACAACUAUUGAAACAAAGACUUAUUCCUAAACAUGUUUGUGAUAUUAGUCACAAAGAUAUUUACAACACUAGUUAAUCAAUAUAUAUCAUUAAGCUUUAUUGGAUUAUGAAUGUUGUAAAUGUUGGCUUGUCCUUUUUUGUUUUUCAUUAAACUAAGGACAUUCAUUAAUUUUCUCUUAUUUUUUUAUUAUUACUAUUUAUUCUUAUUAGUUUAUCAUUAUUCUUAUAUGACAAAGAGGCCACAAAUUCUUACUCAAUACCCGCUGCUCGAAAUCUUGAAUCUAUACGAGCACCAAUUGUUAUUUAUUCAAGCUUUAAUAGCGUAGGUUUAAGUUACAACACCAAGAAAUGACUUCUUUUCAAUGUGGCGAGGAACUGACUCAAGUAGGGAUCAUAACAAGACAAUCAACAUGGUGGGAGAAAGCUUCAAUUGAAAUGCAAAUUGUAGAAGAAUUACCAAUUUGUGGAUGUAGCCUCAGUCAAACAAUAUUUAAUGGUAUGGUGUUUUAUGAAUGAAUAAUAUUUAAUGUUCUAUUAAUUUAUUAAUUUAUUUUGAUAAAGUCAAUAAUAUAUAUUACCAUAUAUUUGAAUAUUUUAAUUAUAUUCAAGUGUUAUUAAUAAACAUUUUAUAUUGAAUAGGAAAAAAGUUCCUUCAAUUCAGUAACCAAUUGGAGUGCAUUCAUGCAUACUUUUCGAUUCAUGCAUACAGUGAAUAUGUGGAUUUGAGAGGCUAGUUCAUAGAUUUAGGGUAUGACUAAUUUGUAGAUGUAUGACUAAUUUCUUACCCUAAAAGUUGUUAUUUAUCUAAAUCAUAUUCCAAUCUAUGUAUACUAGUAGCUAACAAUUUCAUGAAAUUUUUUAUUAACACUAAAAAAAUUAAAUUAAAUGAAUUAUUUGGUGAUCCAAUCCUUAUUCAAAACUUUAUCUAUAAAAUUGUCUUUGUUCAAAAACCUAUUCAAACAAAAUACAUAUGGCUCACAUAAGAAUCCAAAAAGAACUUAGUACAACCCACAACCAUUAUUGGAGGCUUGCCUAUAUGCUACAUAUGCAACAUACCACAGUGGUAAGCAACAGUAGAAAAAAUAAGACUAUAAUGCGGCUCUGUAUAUAGAUUUCACAUAAGAUUUCAAAUAGUUUUACAAGUUUUAAUUUAUUAAAAUAUAUAACUCAUUUGAAUCAAAUUAGAGUGACUAAAUCUAUAAUAAUAAUUUAGGUCGAUCUAAAUUUUGAAAACUAAAUUCAUGUUUACAAUAAUUAAUAUUAGAAAACUAUAAAUUAUAUAUGAAGCCUUAAAAAUUUAUUUUGUAUUUAAUCAAUUGUCUUAACCAAUAUUAAUCAAAUAAAUUAUGAAUUAUUAAUGAAAUAUAUAGAACAGAUAAAUAAUAAUUUUGUAAACAUAUUUAAUUAAAUCAAAUCAACCUAACAUGUUUAAAAUAUAAAUUGUUUGAAUGUACAUGACAAUUUUUGUAAUUAUUAUAUUUAUUUUGACAAAUAUACAUAAAUGUGACAACUCAUAUUGAUUUUUUAAAAAAUUAAAAAUUAAUAACAAAUAUAUUAAAAUUUACAAUAUGAAAUUUAAGUUAAAUCCAUUUACACUACAAGAAAAUCAUGAAAUAUAAACCAAUUUUAGAGACAAAAAGUAAUUAGUUACUAUUGUGACUAAAUUAGAGACCAUUUUAGAGACUAAAUUUUUGUUUUUGUUUUUAAAUUAUUUUAUAUUAUUAUUAAAUAGUUUCUAAAUUAGUAUCUAAUUAACUACUAAGAUUUGAACUACCAAUAAUUUGGAUUCUAAAUUUGGACAGAUAUAAAGGAAUUUGCAUGAAUACCUCUCGAUGCAAACCACCAGUUUCUGGGAAAAUGGAAAUAAACGUAGAUCGAAGCUAUGAAUUAUCAUUCACUAAAUAUUGUCACAUGAAAGUAGGGUAGUCUAUAAGGAUUAAACUCUACGUAGGUAUUUGACUUUUCUUCUUGUAAUACAUCCAAAGCAUAAUUUUUGGCCAUUUUGCAUGCAAUUUAUGUAACUAUUUUAGAAUAUAAUAACAUGUCCUUGUAUCCCAUAGUUCACUACAAAAUACAAAAUAAUAUAAACAAGUGACAUAGACAACCAAGUGUUUAGAAUAAGAAGAUGGAUGCAAAUAACUACUCCUGUGCAUAGUGGAAUAGUAUAUAUUUUACUAGUAAAUAAUUUCAACAUUGAAUAUAUGUCACUGUUUCAUUUGGAAAUAGAAUAGGUUUUGGAGGUAUUUCCAAGUCUUCAAUAUCUCCUUCAAGCAUUUCCACUACUCUCUUCAUUGAGGGUCGAUCAUUUGGUUUUAGUUGUAUACACCAUAGUGCAACUAUGAUCAUUUUCUUUGCUAUUUUAUUUUCCUCCUCUGUCACAUCUCCGAUAUCUACAUCAUCCUCUUCCUGAAUAUGAUCAUGUAUCCAAAGGGGAAAGUAAAGUUGACUUGAGUGAUCUGCAUGAGUAUUUAGAUUCUUCCUCUUACUUGCCAUCUCCAUCAAUAACAUUCCAAAGCUAUAAACAUCAGCCUUAUAGGAUAUUCCUCCAAUAUUAUUAUAAAACAAUUCUGGAGCCAUAUAUCCAAUGAUUGCUCUUGCUGCAGUCAUUGUAACGAUGCUAUUAUCUAUUGGAUAUAACUUUGCCAAUCCAAAGUCAGAAACCUUAGGGAUGAAGUUUUCAUCUAGUAAGAUGUUAUGAGGUUUGAUGUCAAAAUGCAAAAUUUGCAUCUCACACCCAUGGUGGAGAUAAGCAAUCCCACGAGCCACUCCUAUUGAUAUAUUAUAUAUCUUUUCAUAGCUUAAAUGUAUAUUUCUCUCUUUUGAGAAAAUAAAUUUAUCAAGAGAUCCAUUGGGCAUGAAUUCAUAGACAAGAGCACGCUUUGAGCCACUAACACAAAAUCCAAUUAACUUUACCACAUUUUGAUGAUGUAUCAUUCCAAUGGUUGCAACUUCACUGAUAAAAUCUUGCACAUUUCCUUUAGAUUUGGCCAAUAUUUUGAUGGCCACAAAAGGUCCGCUGCGCAACUUUGCCUUAAAGACUGAGCCAAAUCCUCCUUCACCUAACUUCACUUUGAAACCUGCAACCAUCUUCUUGAUUUCCUUGUAUGAAUAUAUAAUAGGUGCCAAGCAAUUUUGUUCAAGGUAAUUUUCAAUAUUUUCAUACAUUGACAUAUGUCUUUUUCUCCAUUUACAUAUAAAAAUAACAAUUAAGAAUGGCAAUCCAAACAAAGCUUUGUAAGCCCAUACUAUAAGAAUAGUUUGUCCGACUGCAAGACAUUUUUACUUGGUGAUUACAGUGGUAUUGUAAAAUGAAAUAAAUUAUUUGUUAAAGUAAUUUUUCGUUCACAAAAUCCAAACUUUACACAUCCAUAGUAACAUUACACAAAAAGAGUAAAUUUAAUGUCUACCACAAACAAUUAUCAAUACCAUUUUUGACAUUGCUAUCUAUAAAAUUGUAUAUAACAUUAAUAUUUCCUAAGACCUAAUCCAGAUGGUUGUAAAAAAAUACAAAUAGUUUUUAAAAAUAAUUUCUUUAGUUUCUAUAAACUUUUUAAAUUCAAUUUGUGUUCCUCUAACCUCUUUAACAUAUUGAAAAUCACAAUUUUUUAUCUUUAAGGUAAUUAACAUUUAAUAUCGAUUAUAAACCUUUAUUUAUAUCACUUUGAGGAUUAAAAUUUUGAAUUUUUAAAUUAGAUGAAGAAAAUAUGAGAAACUUUUGGACAAAUUAAAAUUGAAUUUUUAAAAUGUGGAGAACAUAACUAAAACAUAGGUAAAUUAAGAUGAUAAAAUAUCAAUUUUAGAAUCAUGUUCAUCUCACUAAAAAAUGAGUGACACGAUAGGCUCAAAUCUCAACUAGAAUAAACUCUUAGUGACUUUGAUGUCAUAUAAGGAUAAUGAGUUUAAGUUUAACUCCACUUCACAAAGUUGGUUUAAUAAGGUGAGGUUUACGAUCACUUAUAUACUAUAAUUUGGUCUUAUAUCUAUUCGAUGUGAGAUCUUCAAUAAUUUGGUUAAAAUUUAUUAUCAAAUGUCCAAAACAAUGGUUAAAACACAAUCAUCAUUGAAAAUAGAAAAUGAUGAUGGUUACAACGUAUAAUUAUCAUCACGUGUCUCUUAAUAUAUAGAAAUCAUGCCAACACAAAUAGUGUCAUUUUGUAACUUUUAAUGUUUUCUUCUUCUCCGUUGUGUUGCUCCCACCAUCGCCACUCCUUUGCAUUUGACCUAGUAAGAAAAUUUUAUUUUUAUGUCUUUUACAAUUAGAUAUUUGCUUUCGCUAAGUUUUUCUCAUGUACGAAUGAUGGAGAAAGAGGAUGUCUAGAGCUAGGGAACAAAAAGGAAAGUGAGACCUCAUAUUUCUUUAUACAUUUUUCUUUAAACUCUAACGAGUAUGAUAUGUGGAAAAUCUUCCUAUGUUGGGGAAGAGUUACUGGAAUGUUCAUAAAUAGGAAACUAAAUGGGAGAGGACAAAGAUAUUACUUGGUGAUAUUUGUAGAGGUUGGUAAUGAAGUAGAAAUAGAAAACAAGUAGACGCAAUUUGGAUAGCAAGCAUGAAAAAUCACGUUGGUUAACCAAAAUACAACAGGUUUGAAAAAAAAAAAAACAACCAGAACAAGAAUGAAGGGAUAAACAUAGAGCAAAAAAUUGAAAGAACAACAAAAUGGGUGAAAAUGAGCAAUACUUUACUUAUGCACAAGCGGUAAAAUGUGACACUAAGAAGGAAGGUAAAAAAGAUGCAAUGGAAGGAAUAUCGUUACAAGUGUAAGAGAAUGAGAAGAUGUGGAUAAAUAGAAGUUUUGAAGUUAGACUACAUGAUGUGAGUAAGAUGGAUCUGCUAAAUGAAAACUUUAUCCAAGGUGUCAUAAUAAGAUAUUUAAGGAAUAAUCAAGUGAAUCUCUCACCUGAUAAUGAAAUGAAUAUAUAUAAACAAUUGAAGAACAUAAUGAAUGAUUUCAAGCAUGUUUGAUUCUUCUUGGUCAUCUCAAGAAACAUCGAGAAAUAAGAUCAUAUAGGUGUGGUGUAGAGGCAUACCACUAUCCUUAUGGGGCAUCAAAUGCUUCAAAAGGAUUGUGGUUAUCAUUGGAAUGUUCAUCACAAUAAACAAAUGUUUUUGACUCUUGGAAAGUGUUAAAGUAUGCAAGAUUGUAUGUAUGUUUAGCAAUUAGGAGUUUCACUAUGAUGUAUUGGAAAAUCAAAGUCAACUAUUCAAUUAUCAAGUGUUGUGGGAAGAGGAUAUCUCACUACAACAACAACCAAGAAGGAACACAAAUUAAAAUAUUGGGGGAACAAACCUAUGGAAGACAAAUCAUUGUUAGCAACAAUAGAUGGGAUUAAAACAAAUUCAUUAGAGUCAGAAUGUUGAAAAAUUAAUUAUCUUGAUAUAGGAUAUACACAGGGUAAUGGGGAACAAACCACAAUGGAGGUAUCAAACAUUAAAAGGUCGACCACCAAAGAGAGCGACGAGAAGAUGACAGGGUCGUUACCAAGGGGUGAUCAAAUUUUAUAUCGUCCUUACUUUCCUUCUUUUAUUUUUGCGUUGCAUGUGACAUUUUGACUUCCCUGACUUCUUCAUACCAUUUCUCUCAUUAUGAUUGAUAUUGUCAAGUACUUCCUCCUAUGAGUUCACCAUUUUUUCCUUCAUGGAUUUAUUCUUCUGCUUUAUUUCGAAACUUUUGAUUUUUGUACAUUUUCACUUUGACUACUCCAUGAAUUACUUGUCCAAUAAGGUUCUCAAGAAAUCAUUUUUGUUAGAUUUCCUUUCCAAAUACCACACUUGUACGUUGAAACCCCCAAUGAUGAAAUUUCUUCUUCCAUUUAUACUUGAUAAAC
Molecule: long non-coding RNA, 79923 nt
Filed under: Phaseolus vulgaris (common bean)
Lineage: Eukaryota; Viridiplantae; Streptophyta; Magnoliopsida; Fabales; Fabaceae
Description: long non-coding RNA (PVUL_LNC004839)
Source: RNAcentral